This 87622-nucleotide long non-coding RNA is filed under the name Lactuca sativa (garden lettuce). Its description in RNAcentral is "long non-coding RNA (LSAT_LNC007213)". The record is from RNAcentral. Lineage: Eukaryota; Viridiplantae; Streptophyta; Magnoliopsida; Asterales; Asteraceae.
CUAUGUUUCUUGCCAUCUCUUGGAGAAAUUGAUGCACCAUCACUUUUUUACUUGGUGAGAUGGUAAGAAGGCAUCUGUUAAUGAGGUUCCUGAUGCCAGCUUUUGCAUGCCAUUCAUGCUCCAAUAUCUGUGCCACAUAACCCUCAUAUUCACCAACAAAGAAAAAAGCAAUGUGUAGAAACAAAUCUUUGUUAAUAGCAUGUGGCAAUGAGUCAAAGCUAUUUUGUAGGAUACCUUGGAUUCUAUCAUCAAGAUUUCCUUUCAAUGAAUUCAGUGAAUUCAAUGUACUUCUCCAAACCUCUAUCAUCCUAUUUUUUCCCUUGGCUCUUUAGCGUUAGAAAACAGAGAAGAACCCAAUAGUCUAAGAGCUAGUGGAUUUCCACCACAAUACUCUGCUAACUGUUUUGCGAGCUCCAUAUAACCUUCCAUAGGAGUCUUGGAUCCAAAUGCAUGGCAACUUAAAAGCUCUAAUGAUUCAUCAUCGUUCAACGAUUUAAGUUUAUGCACGUGGCAGCUCCAUGAUAUGGACCCAAACCAUGCAUUUAUAUCUAGAAGCCUAGUUCUUAUUAUGAUCUUGCUUUGUGUAUGAAAAGCCCUUGUUCCAAGUAAAGCAUCUAAUUCGUCAUGUUCAUCAAUGUCAUCAAGAACAAUAAGCACCCUUUUCACUUGUAAGGCCACCUCAACCUUCCUUGUACCCUCAGAUACACUAGAUAUACUUGCAUUGUUUCCCCCUAGAAUGUAUUUUAGAAGUUGUUUUUGUAGCCCAAGCAAACCAUCAGACUGUUUAGAGUGCUUUCCGAUCUCUUCAAGGUAACUACUGCUUUCAAAAUCUUGCUUGUUUGAGUUAUAAAUGAAUUGGGCCAGAGUCGUCUUGCCACUGCCUCCCAUGGCACAAAUUGCUAAAACAUUAUCAACAGGUUGCUCAUUUUUCAACCAGGUAUUGAUACCUAUAGCUCGAGUGCCCAUUCCAAUCAAAUGUGUUGGAGUACUUAGUAAUUUCAUAUCUAGUUUGCGGUUAAGUAUAUCAACAAUUUCUGCGAUAAAGUCUGGUUCAGACCUGCAAGAAAAGAACAAAGAAAAUGAACACAUUUUGAGCAUAGCAUUUAAUCUUCUUAAUGUUUUAACUGCUUCAGUUCUAAUGCAAGGAAUUCAAAUGCUCUAGCAAAUGAAAUAUUCUCCCUGCAACCAUUAAUAUCAACCAACUAAAUAUGAUGAACUGAGGUGUACAUAGUAAGUGUAUAUAUAUGCUAUCUGAUUGAAUUAAGUUUUCAAUAAUACAAAGGCCAAAGCCAAACCAGAAUACGUGCUAUGUCUUGGGAAAAUUAGGGUUUGCGGUGGAGAUCUGGAUACCAGCUAGGAUCGUGAUAUCACUUUCCGAACUGAUAUUUCUACCCUAUGCCUGGGUUACAAGAAAUUCAGUCUAGGAUAAUCCAAGCGACAGGUGGUUUUUCAAGUUACUUACAAAUCAAAACUCACUACAUAAACUCUCAAUCUGUCACUCAACCUAAGCAACUUCUAAACAAUACAAUUUGAUAAAGAACUAGUUACAAAACUCUUAUAGACGAACACACAACCAACAAAAUAGAUGCAUUCAACUAUCUAACAUCAAAGAACCCUUAAGAGAGAAAACCCUAGAUCUGAUCACUUCAACUAGACGAAUGAGUCCCAACACCUUCUCUCUCUUUAUUUAUAUUCUGGAUCCAAAAUAUGGAUAUAACCCGAACCAACUCGACCGAGAUUACAACCCGUGUGUUUCUAUAAUAGCCUGCAUACACUUAACACCCUUACAGAAUACAAUCUUUACACAAUACAUCCUUCAUAAUAAACUACCUUAUAAUAAAUAUGAGAUUGUAAAAAAUAACAUCAUAUUUUCAACAUCCCCCCUCAAUCGAAAUAUUUAUUUUCUAAAAAAAUCAAUAAGACCCAUUUUAUUAGAUAAAAAUUCAUGUUGUUUCAAACUUAAAGAUUUUGUGAGUAUAUCAGCAUUUUGUUCAAAAGAAUCAAUUUUUACCAAUUUUAAAACACCACUAGAAAUUUUUUCUCUAACAAAAUGCAGAUCUAUCUCAAAAUGUUUUGUCCUUUCAUGAAACACAGGAUUAAGAGCCAAGUUAAUUGUUGAACUAUUAUCACAAAAAACAGAAGCAGGGAUAAGAUUUUUAACUUCAAGUUCAAACAGAAUUUUUAAGAUCCAAAUUAUUUCACAUGUGAUAGAACCUAGAGCCCUAUAUUCUGAUUCAGUGGAAGACCUAGAAACAAUAGACUGCUUCCUACUUUUCCAAGAAAUAAGACAAUUAUUAAGAUAUACCAUAUACCCAGAUACAGACCUUCUUGUGGCUAAACACUUAGCCCAAUCUGCAUCCACAAAACCUUUCAAUUCCAACACACUAGACCUAGUUAAAGCAACUCCUUUUCCAGGACUAUUUUUUAAAUACCUUAACAACCUGAAAGCAAUAUUUAAAUGUGAUUUUCUAGGACUAUGCAUAUACUGACUAAGAACCUGAACUGCAUAAGAAAUAUCAGGCCUUGUAACUGUAAGAUAGAUAAGUUUACCUAUCAAUUUUUGAAAUUCAAUUUUAUUUUCCAACAAUUCAUUUUUUCCAUCAUGAUUAUCAGAAUUUAUUACAAAAUUUGUUUCCAAAGGUGUGUUCACAGGUUUACAACCAAGCAUACCAUAUUCAUGUAACAACUCAAGACAAUAUUUCCUUUGGUUUAAACAUAAACCACUGUCAAAUUUAACUACUUUAAUCCUUAAAAAAUAUUUAAGAGUUCCAAGAUCUUUGAUUAAAAAUUGACUAUUCAUAAAAGACUUCACCUUUUGUAACUCUAUUUCACUAUUUCCAGUUAAAAUAAUAUCAUCAACAUAUACUAAUAACACAGUUAUUGAACCUUCAACUUUCCAAAUAAACAAUGAAUAAUCACUUACACUCUGUCGAAAACCAAACAUAAACAAUGAAGCACAAAGUUUUUCAUUCCAUUUCCUAGGAGCUUGUUUUAGUCCAUACAAAGAUUUAGUAAGUUUACAUACUCUAGUAUCAUUACUAGAAUAGUAACCAGGUGGAAGUGACAUAUAAACAUCUUCAGUAAGAUCACCAUUUAAAAAAACAUUGUUAAUAUCCAACUGAUAUAAAGGCCAAGAAUGAUGAACAGAAAGAGAAAUAACAAUACGAACUGUUACAAUUUUUGCAACAGGAGAGAAAGUCUCUUGAAAAUCAAUCCCUUCUCUUUGAUUAUAACCUUUAACAACUAAACGAGCUUUAUAUCUCUCAAUUUCACCAUUUGACUUGUGUUUAAUCUUGUAGACCCAUUUACAUCCAAUUGGUUUUCUGUUUUUACGUAAAUCAGUUAUUUCCCACGUAUUAUUCCGAUGAAGUGCUUCCAUUUCAUCAUUCAUAGCUUUAAUCCAAUUUGGAUCAGAAAAGGCUUCAUUAUAAUUCUUAGGUUCAACAGUUUUCUUUAGAUUAGAAACAAAGCAUUUAGUUUCAGAAUCAAGAAAAGAAUAGUUAACAGAUCUUUCAAUACCAUAUUUAUACUUACCUUCAACAACAUAAUCAACAAACUUAACAGGCAUAUGAGACUCACGCCUAGACCUAGAGAUACAUACAGACUGAUCCAUUGAAGGGGUUAAGAUAGACUGACUAUUUUCCUCAGAUACACUCGAAGAAGAAGGAACAUAUGAACUAGUAGGAGGCACAGUUGCCUCGCCACCAGGGUUGAUAGAAUUACUAAAAUCAACAUCAUCCACACCAAUGGCUGCAUCAGCACCAUCCAACUGGGACUCUACUCUCAGCUCAUCAAGAUUAGUAUAAUCAUUUAUAUAUUUAUUAUUAUCAAAUUCAUCAUAGGAAAAGAGAUCACUAGGGCCAAAAUUGUUUGAAACCUUAUCAACAGAAGUUGAUUUCAACUUGUAUGGAAAAACAGAUUCAUAAAAUUUCACAUCCCUGGAUACAAAAGAAGAAUUAGUAUCCAAACUAAGAAGCUUAUAAGCCUUUUUAUCAGAACAAUAUCCUAAAAAAAUACAUUUUUCAGCACAUUCAGACAAUUUAUCAGAAACAUUUGGCUUAACAACAAAACAUAAACAACCAAAAACCCUUAAAUAAUCAAAACUAGGAAUUCUUUGAAAAACAAGUUCAUAAGGUGAUUGGCCAUUUAAAACAGAGGUAGGCAUUCUAUUUAUUAGAAAAACAGAAGUCAAAACAGCAUCUCCCCAAUAUUUAGUAGGAACUCCUGAUUGAAAUAAAAGAGAUAGAACUACAUUGAGAAUAUGCCUAUGCUUUCUCUUCACAACACCAUUUUGUUGUGGAGUAUAAGCACAUGAUGUUCGAUGUAUUAUACCCUUUUCAAAACAAAAAAACUUCAUUUGAUUAUUAACAAACUCAGUACCAUUGUCUGAAUGUACAAUAUUAACAUUAACAUUAAACUGAUUUAGAAGAAUGUUAACAAAGGAUUUAAAACAAUCAAAAACCUCAAUCUUAGAUUUCAAAAGAAAAACCCAUGUGGCCCUAGUGAAAUCGUCCACAACAGUCAAGAAAUACUUAAACCCCUCAACCGAAGCAAGUCUAUAAGGACCCCAGACAUCUAUGUUGUGACAUCCCCAAAAUCACGGCCAGAAAAGACCGAUUUCAUUUAUGCUUUUUAAAAUAAUUUCAGAGUAAAUCCUUUUGAUUUAAAAGAGUUGCGGAAUUUGUUCCCAAAACAAAACGUGAUAAAAUAAUAUUUAUCAAAGCAUUUCAUCAAGAGAUGCAUUUUCAUUAUAUAAUCAAAACUCGGGAUGUCAUGUUCCGAUACAAACCAUAAAGCAUAAACGAUAACAUUACAAGUCAUUCAACAAAUAUAUACAUAUACAGACUUGUAAACAAAACAACUUGAUGAUUCAACCAUCUUAUGCCCUCGCGCCACUACCUGUAAUACAAAUAAAACUGAGUGGGUCAGGCUUGGGAGCCUGGUGAGCAUAUAGGGUUUUCAACCCACAAUAAAUAAAUUAUAUUUAAUUUCACCAACCAACACUAACCCGAUUACCUGUUCCCGUUAUCCUCACUUUACGUCCCUAAAACAACAUCUAUCUCAAGGGACCUAAUCUAGGAUUUUCAUCGGGACGGACAUUACUGCUAAGGGGUUUCCUCAACAAUAGAUAUCCUAAAGGCAACCAUGAGGGGGAUAGAGUACACCGGUGAACACAUCGUUCACAACACCUACAGGUUAUGAACCUGCUAGCGUUCCACAAGACUGUCUAGAAAGAGUCCGUGGUCGUUAUCCAUACUCCGCUGAAUAACUAGAUCAACAACAACAACAACAUCGAGGCCUCUCAUCUGUUUAUUACACACCAACUAUCUACCCAUGUUCUACCCAACAUAUUAGUAGAUAAAAAUAUAUAUUUUCAUACAUAGUUUAAAACCUGUAUAUCAUUUUCAUUCAAUACAUAUUCCACAUAACAGAUGAGGCACACCCACAUAACACGUAUUUCAUAGAAAAUAAAUCAGAUCUAUGAGAUAGAAGAGAAUGAAUAUACAUUCACACAUAUAACAACAAAAUUAUACACAUAACACGUAUUUCGUAUAAAAUACUUCAUAAUUAUGCGUUAGAAGAAAGUAACUACACACUCACUUGAUCAGAAGAUGAUCGGACAGCACUACGACUUGUAGAAGUAGUAAUCCUCAGCAGAUCUGGAAGAUCUCUUCAAAAAUCGAACUUCUCGCGGGCAGAGCUUCGGCUCGGGAAUCGCACUUCUCAGGAUCUUCGGGACCUCGGGACUUGCUUCAGGGCUCGAGAAUAAUACCGGGGCUUCGGGGUAUUUCUAGCAUGCAAAUCGAUGCAAAACGGGAGAGAGAAGAGAGAAAAUGAACAAAAGAACCGGCUGCCCUCGCAUCCUAUUUAUAGGAGGCGGGAGCCUCGGAGUACGCAGGGCGUACUGCUUCCGAAACGUCACUGCAUGCGUCAUCCGAAGACUCGAGUGCGAAUGUCGACAUCUUCAGUGUACGUGGGGCGUACACGAGUACGGCGGGCGUACUUCGGAUCGGAUCGCUGACUCCCCUUCGGAUAAUGCCGGAUUUUCCAAUUAAAAUUAAAUACAAAUUAUUUAAUAAACUUCGGAAAUUCAUAUCUUCUUCAUACGAACUCCGUUUUCGACGUUCUUUAUAUCCACGCGAAGGUGAGACUACGCUCUACAACUUUUGUUUAGACUUCGCCAGCUAAUUCUGACUUUAUUUUUAUUAUUUAUUUUUAAUAGGCCGCGACAGAAAAACUUCGUUAUAAAUUCAUAACUUCUUCGUUUGACGUCCGUUCUCGCCUAACUUUUUAUCGCUUCGAUACCAACAACGAGACCUUCGAUCUUCGUUUAGAUUGCUUCGGCUAAAAACCGCUCGAUCUCAAAUCGAGUAUUUCAGGCUGCAUACCGCUAAACCGAAGCUUCGAUAAAUCAUAACUUCCUCAUACGAAGUCAGAUUUGGGCGUUCUAUAUAUAUUCGGAAACCUCGCUUCAACUACUACAACAUGAACCAAAGAUAUUAAGUUUAUUUUACACUUAAAAUUUGACGCUUUUUUUUAUUCUUAAUUAAUCAAACCACAUAAUUAAGUAAUUAAGCACAAAACACAUAAUACUCAAAUCAUACACUCUUAUUAUUUCGAAACGGGUUACAAAGGUUAACCUAGACUAUUAUAUUGCUAAAAAUGGCAAGCCUGGAAACACAGGCAUUACAUAUGUGAACCAAUUCACCUAACUUAGUUGAAGUAUGUUGACUAUGUGGAAAGGACUCUCUGGUCUGUUUUGAUUUAUGACAAACAUCACAAGGAGGAAGAGACUCAUUUCCAAGUUUUAGAACAUUUUUUAAAGAUGUCAAAUGCCAAUUUAGUUUAGAGACACAACACUUAGACAAAAUAUUUGUUGAAAUACCUGAGGGAACAUAAUCAAGAUAGUAUAAUCCCCCAGACUCUCUACCAUUCUCCACCAUCUCCUUUGAUAGUGAAUCCUGGAUUUUACAAGUAUGUUUAGAAAAAAAAAACCUCACAACCACUAUCCUUACAAAGUUUAUGGACAGACAAAAGAUUAACAUUGAAAUCAGGAACAACAAAAACAUCAAAUAAAGUAAGAUGUGAGGACAAUUAAAGAUUCCCUAUUUUAUUUAUGGAAGCUGAGGAACCAUUAGGAUGUUUAACAGAAAGAUUAAGUUUAGACACAUCUACAUCAUCUCUAAGUUGUGACUCAGAAGCUAUCAUAUGUUGAUUGGCUCCUGAGUCAACAAUCCAGCUUUGAGAAUCAUUUGAACUAAUAAAAGAAUUACAACAUUGAAACACAUAUAUACCUGCCAUGUUUGUAGUAGCAGACACAUCAUCACUAGCAGAAUUCUCACUAAUGAGACGAAGAAACUUAGAAUAUUGUUCAUCAGUGAGAAAAUGAGCAUCACUUCCAAGACCAGACUCAGAAGGAACAGAUUUGCUAUUGUUAGAACCAACAGAAGAAGAAUUCACAGAAAAAGAUUUGUUUUGAUUAUUAUUAUCAUUUCUAAAUUUAAAAUCCUUUGGAUAACCAAUUAGUUUAUUACAUCUUUCUAUUGUGUGACCUUUAAGAUUGCAAUGUUUGCAUUGUAAACCUUGGUUCUUAGACCUAACUUGAUUUUGUCCCUGUUUAAAAUCAUUAACUUUACUAUUAAACACCGAGACUUGUGGUUUUGAAGAAACAGUAGACCCAAGAGACCCAUUCUUUUGAAGAGAUUCUUCUUUAGAAAGAAUAGAGAAGGCGGAUUUAACAUUGGGUAAAGGCUCCAUCAAAAGAAUGUGACUCUUAACUUGAUUAUAAACAUCAUCAAGGCCACUAAGAAAUUGCAUUAACUUCAUCAAUUUAGAAUGAUCAUUAAGUUUUGUACCUGCCUCACACACACAUUCAGUUAAACUAGUUAAACCAUCAAACUCCUUCCACAAGGAAUCUACUUUAUUGUAAUAAUCAGAAAGAGAAGAACCAUUUUGCUUUAAAGUGUUAAUCUGCUGUUGAAUAUUAAAAAUUACUAACCCAUCAGCUUUGUUAUAUGUUUCAAAUAAUUCAUCCCAAAUAUCUUUAGCUUUAUCUGAAUACACAUGACUAGCAUAUAUAGUUUCAGAAAUUGACCCUAGAAUCCAAUUACAAACAACAACAUUUACACGUUCCCAUUUAGAAGCUUUAGCUUUCUCAGUAUUCUCAAGAAUAAUGGAACCAUCCACAAAGCCCAAUUUAUUCCUAGCCUUAAGACCUCUAGACAUAGCACUACGCCACAACCGAUAAUUCUCAUUACCAGUCAGUUUAACUGUUAUAAUAGAGGUUACAAUAUUAUAUAAAGGAUCAUUAAAGUCAACAGGAAUUUCCUUAGGAACACCACUCCCUCCAGAAGUUUCACUAGCCAUAGUAAAUCACAGAAAACAAACCAAAGAAAUCAAAUAACAAUCCAGAUCAAGAAUAGAAACAAGAAUUCAACAAACAAAUAACACUCGUGUUGACUUAAAGUCCAGAUGGUCACCACAGUAUGUCGGGGCCCAAGACAAUCAACACAGUGUAAAAAACAGAACAACUUCAAGAAACAAUCAACAAUUAACUGAUGUACUCAAAACAUCAGGAUCUCCCACAUCUACAGCUAGAAAAGGAGAAAGAAAGGAACGAGAAACCCUCACAGUGCAAUAGGCAACCGAGAUUGUCGAGAUCGACUCCCCGAAUCCGUUUCCUUCUAGGGUUUAUCAGUGAGGAAAUCUGUCCCCAAGAGGAUUAUUUCAGAUUAACAGGGAUUGGUCAAUUAUGUUGCAGAGUUUUAAUCUUCAACACAACAAUACUCAGUCAGAACCUGAUUCACAUCACACCUGAAAGAUUAAACAAAAAAUAUUGCAGUACCAGGAUCUCAAUAACAAGAUUCAAGUUUUAGGGAAAAUACAAGACAGAAACCCUAAACUGAACUUGUUCAAUCACAUGAACAAAAAACAAAAAUGAAAAAGAAGAUAUACCUUUCACAGAUCGUCAAGCGCAGAAACACUAGAUGACGAACAACCAAGAAGCGACCGUCAGGAUCAAAGAACACGAACCUUACAGCUCUGAUGCCAUGUUAAAACACACAAGACAAAUUUCCCAACAUCACCAUUUCUCAUAUCAAUUUAGGAUCAAGAAACAGGUGGUUUUUCAAGUUACUUACAAAUCAAAGUUCACUACAUAAACUCUCAAUCUGUCACUCAACCUAAGCAACUUCUAAAAAAUACAACUUGAUAAAGAACUAGUUACAAAACUCUUAUAUACGAACACAAAACCAACAAAAUAGAUGCAUACAACUAUCUAACAUCAAAGAACCCUUAAGAGAGAAAACCCUAGAUCUAAUCACUUCACCUGGACGAAUGAGUCCCAACACCUUCUCUCUCUUUAUUUAUAUUCUGGAUCCAAAAUAUGGAUAUAACUCGAACCAACUCGAACCAGAUUACAACCCGCGUGUUUCUAUAAUAGCCUGCAUACACUUAACACCCUUACAUAAUACAAUCUUUACACAAUACAUCCUUCAUAAUAAACUACCUUAUAAUAAAUAUGAGAUUUUAAAAAAUAACAUCAUAUUUUCAACAAUAAAAAAUAAAGAUGGCCACCAACCCGGUUGAUAUUAAAAGCAAAAUUUGUGCAUGAGUUGCUUCUUUUACUUGGCCAUAUAUCAACUACUAUGAUGAAAGAGAAAUUACUAUUUUAACUGAAGAUUGAGUUGGGUAUAGCCAUGUGGAUAGUCGGAGAAUUACAAAGGUCUUAGGUGAAGUCGAGUUGUCGUCUUGGUGCUGUUUUGAUUAAAAAAUUAAUUGUUCGUUGUUUCAGAUAUUAUUGUUAGAUUAAAUUACACAAAUGGUCUUUAUAGGUAGAAGUAAUUUGUGUGUUUGAUUUUUAACUAGUUAGGAGACUGAUGUGUUAUAUGAUAUAUAUAUAUAUAUAUAUAUAUAUAUANNNNNNNNNNNNNNNNNNNNNNNNNNNNNNNNNNNNNNNNNNNNNNNNNNNNNNNNNNNNNNNNNNNNNNNNNNNNNNNNNNNNNNNNNNNNNNNNNNNNNAAAUAUUUAAAAAUUUUGAAUUUAUAAGAAAAAUAAUUAAUUAUUAUAAUGAAAAUGUUUUUUAUCUUUUAAAUUUAAAUAAAGAGAAGAAAUUAAUGAGCUUUAAGUUUAUAAAAUACUAGGUGUGAGACCCAUCUAUUAUAUGAGUUUAUUUAAAAGAAAAGUAAAUACAAAAUUCUAAACAUUUGAAAAGUAUGAAUUUGUAAGAAAAGUAAGAAAAUAUUGAAUUAUAAAAAUUAAAGUGUUUUUUUCUCUUUUAAAUUUAAACAAAUAAUUUAGACAAAUAAAUAAAGAAAUUAAUGAAUCUUUAAUCUGGAAAUUUUGAAAUUAGAAGGAAAGUUCAUUAAUGAAGCUGAUAUGUAUUUAUUAUUCAAUAUAAAUACUAUCUACAAUUUAAUAAAAUGAAAAACCAUAAAAUGACAUGUGGAAUAAAAAUUAAUUUAAAAUAACCACAAAGUUAAAUGUGGCAAAAUAAAUGACAAUGUGACAUGUGGCAAAAAGAUCUUUAUUUAUUAGGGAGGAUUGAAAUUAAAAUGUAAGUUUAUUAAUGAAAUUAAUAUCUAUUCAUUUUCACAUUUAUUGCAAUUUAUUACAUUAAAAUAUUAUGUGAAAUUUAAUAAAAUAAAAAACUCAUAAAAUGAAAUGUGGAAAAAAAAAUAAUUCAAAAUAAUCACAAAACAACAUUUGACAAAUUGAAUAAGAAUGUGACAUAUGGCAAAAAAAAACUUUUAUUUAUUAGAGAAAUUUUUUUUUUAAUUCGAACCGUCCUUAUUAUAUGGUUUUGUUACAUGGUUGGUACUAACAAAGAUAAAAAAUGAGUGUNNNNNNNNNNNNNNNNNNNNNNNNNNNNNNNNNNNNNNNNNNNNNNNNNNNNNNNNNNNNNNNNNNNNNNNNNNNNNNNNNNNNNNNNNNNNNNNNNNNNNNNNNNNNNNNNNNNNNNNNNNNNNNNNNNNNNNNNNNNNNNNNNNNNNNNNNNNNNNNNNNNNNNNNNNNNNNNNNNNNNNNNNNNNNNNNNNNNNNNNNNNNNNNGCAAGAAUGCUUGCAAACCCCAUCUCGUCCCUUUUUCAUCUUGCCAACAAGGCAGUGUUUUCUCCGGUGAAACACUGUUUUCAAAAUAAUCACAAAAUAACAUUUGACAAAUUGAAUAAGAGUGUGACAAAUAGCAAAAAAAACUUUUAUUUAUUAGAGAUAAUUUAUUUUUUUAAUUCGAAUCGUCCUUAUUAUAUGGUUUUGUUGCAUGGUUGGUCCUAACAAAGAUAAAAAAGAAUGAUUGUUACCUUUUUUUAUUUUAUUUAAUAUUUCUUUUUAUUGUUUUUAAUUUAAUAAUAUCNACUUCUCCUGCAAGAAUGCUUUUGCAAACCCUAUCUCGUCCCCUUUUCAUCUUGCCAACAAGGCAAUGUUUUUUCCCUUGAGACACUGACUUCUCAGGCGAGACUAUAAAAAAUGUUUUAGAACAUUUGAAGCAUCAAAACCAAUUGACGAAAAAACUUUGAAGCACAUACUUUAUCACAAACAAAACCCUUAUAUGAAAACAAAUUCUUAUACAAAAAAUCUGUCCAAACCGAUUGCAAAUAUUUUAGAUGCUAAACCUAUAUCUAUACAAGAAACAAGAUCCAUUUGUUGGAAAUCGAUUCAAAAAACCAAAUUUAUCAAACCAUUAACAAUCUGAUUUAAAAUCAAGAUCUAGUCUAGAUGGAUGCAAGAACAACCUGAUACAAAAAAACCCAAUCUUCGACUUCCUGUUUUUGAUUCAUCAAUCCCAAAAACAAUCCGAGGAGAAAGAAUGAGAAAGGUUGGGCCAGUAUCCUUCCAGUAAGCCUUGCCUUCUCCGACGACUUCCUAGUUUGCAUUUUUCUGGUGAUGGUCGGUGGAGGUUGUAGGGAAUGGUGAGUGUUUUGAGCAAACUCACCAUUCAUGCUUGGUUUAGAAAAGUGAGCUUUCAAGGUCCGGUAAGUGUGAGUGGCAAUGGUCCAGUGAACCACUUUAGCACCGAUAACCUUAAAUGCAAUGAAUCUCCAUUGUCUCCGAAAGUUUAGUUUGACGAAGCCCCGAUAUUCUUUGCAAUCUCCAAACAUGUAAACGCAUCAAUCAAUCACUUUCGCUGCUUCAGUUGGUUGCGUUAAGUAGUGUCUGGUCAUCGAAAGUGGUAGUAGUCUUUAGGAAAUCUCCCCACCCAUCGACUUCUAGAAACCAUAUCUGAUAUCGUAGGUGAUUUCGACCAUAUAGACCACUUAAAUCUGGUGGUUGUGCUUUCACCUUAUUUGAUUCCAACCACUCAUAUAUGAAAUCAUCAAGUUCUGGAAGCCCCCAUUCCCCCCCCCCUACGUUUGUAAGUGUGAAUGAAGGGAUGAUAAGGGUGGAGGAUGUUGUAUGCAACCCUUUUCCCCCUACACUAAUGAUUUCCGAUGAUGCAGAUGGUCGCGGUGAUGCAGCUAGAAGAGGAGAUGGUGACGACAUCAAUUUUCGUCGAUGUGCCACUUCCAAUGAUAUCGACUUUCAGCAAUGGUAUUCAUUGGUGUGAGAGAGGAGAACAAGAUUGAAGAUGCCAAUGGUUGGUGGAGCGAAAUAGUGGAAGAGGUUGGAAGUUAGGGUUGGGGGAAGAGUCAACGUGGUGGGUUGAACCUACACAUUUUAAUUUCUUUUUUUAAAUAAUUUUAUCCAAUAAAAUACAAAAAUAGGUUGUAUUCAGGGUAAUUUAGACAUUUUAAGUCGGUUAGGGACUAAACACGAAAAAAAUCAAAUGAUAAGGAUGAUCCGAGUUAAAAAAAUGUUAGGGACGAAGUACGGAAAUUAACAUAAACUAUAGAGACUAUUUGUGUAAUUUACUCUUAUUGUUAAGUUUGAAAUUUCUUUAUAAAAAAAUUCUAAUAUUUUAAAUGUCUUAUAAAGUUUGGUUAUAUUUAAUAAUGUAUUUCAAUAAAAAGUAUUCAUAUGUUUAGAAUUUCUAUAAAUAAAAUAAGUUUAUUCUUAAACUUUAUUAUUAGUAAGAUUCUAUAUCUUUUAAAAUUUAACACAUAUUGAUAAAUUAUUUAACUAUUUUGUGUUUACAUGUAACUUAAAAAGUCAUUUCUUCAUUACAAACAUGAUUAUAAAGACAUCAAAAUCAACAUAUACAUAUAUCUAUCUAUCCUAUAUAAGAAAAGAAUAGUUUUUAGGUCACAUGAUAAUCCUUCGGCUCUAUAAAUUUUCUUUAGGUUAAUUCCAUUGACAUGAAACUUUAUCAAUCUAUCAUUUUUAUUUAUUCAUUCGUAAACUAGGUUAAAGAAUCGUGUAUUAAACAGUUUGAUUAAAAAAUUAUAUAGUAAGGUAUAAACAUCAAACAUUUGUAAAUCAAAAAAUUUGAACAAUAGAUGAUUGAAAUAAGGAAUGAGUACAUACUUUAAUCUAGUAGUAAAGCAACAUUUUUAACAUCCCAAAAAUGCCAAUACUUUUUUAUUUUAAAACAUAGUGUCAUACAAACAUUGGUUUCAAAUCCAAUCAAUAUUAAUUGUAUUUUCAAACAUCAGAAUAUACCAAAUUAAUUGAUGUGGAAAAAGCCAUCGGGGGAUGCAAUGCAGUCAAGUUGGGCCCUUCCCUUUGGAACUGGAAGUACCUGAAAAUGUUUAAACCACAAAAUCGAAAUCACCAAGCUUAGUGAGUUCCCCAAAAUACUACAUACCGUACAUCGAAUAGGAAAUGCUAUGUUUCAAUCAUAGUCUUAUAAUCAUUAUCAUGCCAUGAGCCACAUUCUGGUCAUUCCUUGCCAUUUUGGGUGACCAAAACCCAUGUCUUACAAACAAGUGCCAAGAGCCACCUCCUGGUCUAUAAUGCAAGUAUUACAAAGACAUCUAGCAUCCUAUAUAUAAUUGCCAUGGUAUAAACCCUAGUCUUGCAUACAAAAUUUUGGGAUCCAUAUCCAGGUCUUUCAUAUAAUUGCAGGGGUCACCACCUGGUCUUCCUACAUGGUACAGUGAAUAGUAUUACCUAACUCAUAAAGUCGACUAAAAACUCAUCUUAAUGCUACAUCGUCCAAAACUAUCAGAUCUCUUUCAACCAACAAAUGGGUGCUAAACACCACCUAAUAACCCACACAAGGUAAACCCUAAGUCUAUCUUCUAAAGAUAGGAACUUGACCAAAUGUAAAACCAUGCCAAAAGUCAAUAGUCAAAGUCAAAGUUAACAACCAACAUUGCCAACCAAUAAGCCUCACGUCGUGACCAGCCCUUGGUCACAUCGUGAGAACUCGCUCAGAUUCUAACUCGACACUCUCCAUUUGACAUCCCCAUUUUCACGGCCAGAAAAGACCGAUUUUGCUUAUGCUUUAUAAAAAUCAGAGUACCCGUUUUAAUAAAAAUGUUGCGGAAUUUGUUCCCAAUAAAACAUGAUAAAUACUUUAUCAAAGCAUUUCCGAAGUAAAGUAUAUUUAUUCAUUUUAAAUCAUUUUGGAUGUCAUCGUCAAUACAAAAACAUAAGCAUAAACAAAACUUACAUUCAUUAUCACUAGUGAUUUAUAUCUCCUUAAUCUCUCUGUGUAAUGUGACUUCAUAUCAACACAUGUGAUAUAAAUAACCUGAGUGGGUCAGGUUGGAAAACCUGGUGAGUACAUAGUGUUUUCAACCCACAAUAAUAUAAUUAUUAUGUUUAAUCUUCAAACAAUUAAUCAACCUAAUUACCCAUCCCCAUUAUCUUCUUUACUCUUAAGGAUCUACCCUAAGAAUCAACUAUUCCUUGUUCAUUUAUUCGUAAGGAUCAUCCUAAGGAAUUGGCUCGAAGUCCAUCAUUACCAAGGUUUAUAGAUUACAACUGGUGAAAAUGUGGUCCAAAACAUCUGGUGAACACUUAGUUCAAAAAUAACUAGUGAACACACUUAGUUCAAAAAUACCUAGUGAACACACUCAGUUCAAAAUACCUAAUGAGCACCUAGCUCAAAAACACCUACAGGUUACGAGCCUGCUAUAGCGUUCCAUUGGACUGUCAGGUAUAGUAUGUGGUCGUCAUCUAUACUCCAGUAGAUGACUGGAUCACUGUCAACAUUGAUGUCUUUCAUCGUGUUAUCACACAAAAACUAUUUCAUCUACCCAUGUUUUACCAAACACAUUUUGUAGAUAUAAAAUACAUAUACAAUUUAAAUUAUUUAAAACAUAUAUAAAAAUAUCACCCAGCAUAGACAGCAAGUAUUUUGACAAUAUGCACACAUACGACGUAAUUUAUAUUAAAAUACUUCAUAUCUAUGUGUAAGAUGAAAGGGACUAUGCACUCACCUGAAAACAUUGAUGUCGUUCUCGAAGUCUGCUACGCCCGAAAACAACUCUUGGUAGUGCUCCCUCAUCUCAUCCUCCGGCUCCCAAGUCCAUUUCGUGCCCUUGUGGUGCUGUCAUUGCACCUUCACCAACUAUACCCUCUUGAUCCUCAGAUCUUUCGUCUUCCUGUCAAGGAUGGCUACUGGUCGCUCAAUGUAGUUCAAGUUGUCAUAUACUUGAAUAUCCUCUAAAGGCAUGACCAUAAAGUCAUUUUCCAAACACUUUCGUAGUUGGGAGACAUGAAAGGUGUUGUUGAUCUGACUAAGCUCGGCUGACAGAUCCAGCCGAUACGCAACCUUGCCCAGCCAAGCUACAACCCUAAAUGGUCUGAGGUACUUAGGGCCUAGCUUGCCCCGUUUCCUGAACCGGAUGACACCUUUCGAAGGUGACACCUUCAGGAGGACCAUGUCACCGACCUGGAACUCCAUGUCUUAUCGACACCUGUCGGUGUAGCUCUUCUGUUGACUCUGCGCAGUCUAGAGUCUGGCUCCAAACCUGCUGGAUCAUCUCAGUAGUCUUGAGUACCACUUCGGUACUCCCCAUGACUCUCUGUCCAACAUCUCCCCAACAUAUCGAGGUCCUGCACUUCCUCCCAUAAAGCAUCUUGAAGGGAGGACGGUCGAUUCUGGCGUGGUAGCUAUUAUUGUAAGAAAACUAUGCCAGGGGAAGGUAGGUAUCCCAGCUACCACCAAAGUCAAAGACACACGCCCGCAGCAUAUCCUCCAAGUUUUGGAUUGUCUACUCGCUUUGACUGUCCGUCUACGGGUGAAAGGUCGUGCUAAAAUGUGGACGAGUACCCAGCUCGUCAUGAAACUUCUUCUAGAAUCUAGAAGUAAACCGUACAUCUCGGUCUAAAAUCAAUAAAACUGGCACCCCGUGCCGAGCUACUACCUCCCUGAUGUAGAUGUCAACCAACUUCUAGGCCGAAAUGCUCUUUUGAAUCGGAAUGAAAUGGUCACUCUUGAUCAAGCGAUCCACGAUGACCCAAAUCGAAUCCACUCCCCGUGCGGUCCUGGGAAACUUUGUGUUGAAAUCUACAGUAAUAUCCUCCCAUUUCCACACUGGGAUACUCAACGACGGCGUCUUACCAUGAGGUGUCUGGUGCUCUGCCUUGACUUUCCUACAGGUCAGGUAUCUCUCGACGUACCAGGCUACAUCCCACUUCAUGUAGGGCCACUAGUAAUCAGGACGAAGAUCUCUAUACAUCUUCGUUGCCCCGGGAUGGAUGGAAAACCUGGAUUUGUGUGCCUCCUCCAUCAGAACCUGAUGCACGUCGCCCGCGUACAGAACCCACACCCUGCGAUGGAGUGUCAACAAUCCGCGGCUAUCAUAGUUGAAGGAGGAAAUAUGACCCACGAUAUGCUCACUCUUCGAGUGUUCCUCCUUUAUAGGCUCCUACUGAGCCUCUCGGAUCCGCUCCAACAGUGGAGUCACCACCGUCAUCCUCAGGAAGAUGUCUCUGAUCGGGGCUACGAAAGCCUUGCGGCUAAGUGCAUCGUCCACAACGUUGGCCUUCCGCGGGUGGUAGAGGAUGUCACAGUCGUAAUCCUUCACCACGUCCAACCAUCUCCGCUUCCUUAUGUUCAGAUUUGGAUGAUCCAUUAGAUACCUCAAGCUCUUGUGUUCUGUGUAAACGAUACAACGAACCCCAUAGAGGUAGUGCCACCAAAUCUUGAGGGCGAAAUCAACUACCCCCAGCUCCAGAUCAUGCGUCGGGUAAUUCGCCUCAUGAGGCUUCAGCUACCUCGAGGCGUAGGCGAUGGCGUGCCCCCUCUGCAUCAAUACUAUGUAUGAACCCGAAAUGGACGCAUCAUGGUAUACUAUAAAAUCCUGAACGCCCUCUGGCAGGGAUAAGAUCGGCGCCUCGCACAACGUCUAUCUCAAUGUCUCGAACGCUGCCUGCUGCUCAGGCCCCCAACGGAAAGUCACCGACUUGUUGGUCAGUCGAGUCAAUGGGACAGCUAUCUUGUAGAAAUCCUAGAUGAACCUCCGAUAGUAUCCCGCUAAGCCAAGGAAACUUUGAAUCUCAGAUGGAGACUUCGGAACCUUCCAUCUCAUCAUGGCCUCUACUUUGGCCGAGUCGACUAGAAAACCGUUCGGGUUGACAAGGUGCCCCAAAAACUGUACCUCACGCAACCAGAACUUGCAUUUGGAGAAGUUGGCUUACAAGCUCUCCCUCCUCAGGGUAUCCAACACCUGUCGCAAGUGCUCCUCGUGCUACUCCUGCGUAUUGGAAUAAAUCAAGAUGUCAUCGAUGAAGACGAUCAUAGACCUAUCCAACAUCGGUCUGCAUACACGGUUCAUGUGGUCCAUGAACGCGGCAUGAGCAUUGGUGAGCUCAAACGGCAUCACCACGAACUUAUAAUGACCAUAGUGAAUUCAAAAAGCAGUCUUCUAUACAUCGUCUUCUUUGACCCUCAUCUGGUGGUAGCCUGAACGCAAGUCGAUCAUGGAAAACCAAGAUGCACCCUGUAGCUGGUCAAAUAAAGCAUCAAUCCUUGGGAGGGGGUAACAGUUCUUCACUGUUACCUUAUUCAACUUCCAGUAGUCUAUACACAUCCGAUGAGACCCGUCCUUCUUCCUCACAAAUAGGAUCGGGGCUCCCUAGGGUGAACUGCUCGGUCUAAUAAAUCCUUUGUCUAACAGCUCCUGCAGCUGUGUAGACAACUCCUGCAUCUCGGGAGGAGCCAACCGAUACGGUGCCUUGGCUAUCGGGGCUGCACCUGGAACUAGGUCACUCCUGAACUCCACCUGUCUUUCCGGAGGUAUCCUAGGCAACUCCUCUGGAAAUACGUCCGGGUACUCUCGCAAAAUUGGCACAUCGCUCACGGUCGCCUUACCCGUCUCUCGGGUAUCCAUCACAUAGGGUACAAAACCUGUGCAAUCCUGAUGAAGGUAGCGCCUAGCUCUCGCUGCUGAGCACAAAGUGUGUCCACGCUGCGGACUCUCACCCUAAAUCACAAACUCUCACCCACUUGGGGUCCUACACACGAACCAACUGAUGCUCACAGUCAAUCACUACCCCAUUAGGGCUCAACCAAUCCAUGGCGAUGAUGACCUUGUUCCCACGCAAUGGAAUGGGAACCAAAUCCAUGAGAUACCGCUUGUCAUACAUCCUCAAAACACAGUCCCUAUAAACCUAUGAUGCCCUAACGGACCGAUCGUCCGCAAUCUUGACCUCUAACGGACAAUCCAACAUGCUCGUAGACUCGGCAAACCUCUUGUUGAGUGCAAGGGAAACGAAAGAUCAGGUAGCCCCCGAAUCAAAUAACACAAACACUGGGAUACUGUUCACAUGGAACGAUCCUAUAACAUAGUACAUGAAACAUGAAACAUAAAUAUCAAAACUGACAUAUAACAAGAGAAAGGAACAGAAAAAACAUAUCCGUCACCACAUUGGGUGCAACGCGCGCCUCCUCGACGGUCAGCUGGAAGGCUCGACUCCUCACCACUAGAGCCUCUGUCUUGCCCUGUCGGCCAUCUGUGAUCCACAGGGUCGCUGGAGCUGGCACCACCACCGGCGCUGCUUGUACCAAUCUCGAGCAGUUGGCCUUUUUAUGGCCCUUCUGAUUGCAAUGAAAGCAAAUCAGGUUUGCUGUCUGGAAGAUGGGGGUAGGGGCAGUACAAUCCUCGCUAGAGUGCCCCGUCUUGCCGCACUUGUAGCAGCCCGAUCCCCCAGUUCUGCAAGCUCCCUCAUGCGACUUGUCGCAUUUCCCACAGCGGCCCCGACCCUACUGGCCCUUCGACCUAGAGUCGAAUCCCUUGGGUUUCUUCCCUGAAACCCCAGUAGCAUGCCUAGUCUCUGCCUUCCUCUUCCUGAUGUGCUCUAUAUCAAUCUUCCUUUCCCUCGCCCUCACUAUCAUGUCAUCCAAAGUUGGGCACACCGAGUAGCUGACAUAUUUUCGGAUGUCAGCCCUCAACAUCCAUCCUAGAUAUUUAGCUCUAAUCUACCAUACAGUUCUCAUACACAUAUGGCAGGUAUACAAGGCAUCCUUCCUAGAUCCCUAGCCCUAGUCUAGCAUGCAGUUCUCACAUAACAUAACAUAACAUAACAUAACAUAACAUAACAUAACAUAACAUAACAUAACAUAACAUAACAUAACAUAACAUAACAUAACAUAACAUAACAUAACAUAACAUAACAUAACAUAACAUAACAUAACAUAACAUAACAUAACAUAACAUAACAUAACAUAACAUAACAUAACAUAACAUAACAUAACAUAACAUAACAUAUCAUGUAUGGGUAUCUUGGGGAAAACUUACUUGAGCUCGGCCGAUUGCACGCAUCACACACCUUGUUCUUUCUCGAAAAUCCCUUAAUUUUUAAGUUUUAGAAAAUUAUUUUCUUGUAAAAACUUUUCAAAUCCUCGAUUUGAGUUCAGACACCCCCGAAGGUAUAUUCGAAUCCCUUAAACUAAGGCUCUGAUACCAACUUGCAACAUCCUAAAAAUCGCGACCAAAAAUUUCAUUUUUAAUUUAUUAAUUAUAAAACCAAUUGUCUGAAAUCAACCAUAGUAACAACUCAUAAUGAAACCAAGUAUCCAUAAUCAAACAUGUCAUGAUAAACAAUGUCAGAGUAUAAAUCCUAAGGAACAUAAGUGCGAAAAUCCUGGUGUGAGGCGUUGCAUUUAAGUCGGCUCCUUUCCCUUCGAAGAGGAAGUACCUGGAACCAAAACUGAAAACCGUAAGCAUGAAGAUUAGUGAGUUCCCCCAUCAUACCACAUACCAUAUAACAAAUACAAUGCCGAGCAUACCUGGGUGUUGGCCUCCCCUUCGGUCUAUUUCAACCGGAUCUUUUCCGAGCAUAUAUGGGUGUUGGCCUCCCUUUCGGUUUGUUUCAACCAGAUACUGCCAAGCAUAUCUAGGUGUUGGCCUCCCCUUCGACCUGUUUCAACCGGAUACUGACGAGCAUAUCUAGGUGCUGGUCUCCCCUUCGGUCUAUUUCAACCGAAUUUGGGGACUAUUUUGUAGGGUUUGGAGCAUUCUAACACUCCUAAGGUGUACAUGCAACCCUAGAAACCUUGGAUCUAUGUUUUACUAUGAUACAUGCAAAAUUGAUUUUCCAAGGUUCAUAUCCUAUCUAGCAUACAUGGGAACUUUUAAUCAUAAAAGUAAGCAAGAAAACAUACCUUGUAGUAGAUUGGAUUCCUUGAGAACCUUGUGAGCCUAGCACCUCAAGUAUGAUGCCUCAAAUGUCUCACACAACACCAAAUACACUUGGAAUAACCUUGAGAGAAAUGGAACACUUCUAAAAUCGGCUAUGCCCUCUUGUUAUCACACUAGUGCCGAUUUUGGAUGCUAACAUAUUCCUUUUAUAGUGUGUCAUAAGUAGGGUUACACCAUGUAAACCCUAAUCUUGACAUGGUUCUUCAUUUCCAUGAUACAUGGGUUCGAAGCCACCAUGGAGCAUCCUAAUGGGUUUUAGCCCAACUUGAUAAUCCAUGGAGCAUUAGCCCACUAUAGAAGUAUGGGUGAUUUACACAAUCAACCCAUAUAUUUAAUUAGUCUUCUUUUGAUCACUUAAUUAAUUCCAAACUAAUUCUUGAUCAAUACUAAUUAAACAAUAUUAUUAAUAUAUUAGAACUUAUAAUAUAUUAAUAAACCUUAAGUGUUAUUUCUCUCAUUUUGGUCUAUCCAAAUGCAUGAUGCCAUGCAACCCAAAUGGACCAUGCUAAUCGGGUCAAGUACAUCCCAGAAAUAGUUAUGAACUUAGACACCUAAUCCAACAUAUUUAACCCCCUACUACAACAACAUAACGUAUUAUCAUAUAAAGCAUAAAUAUCCUACCAUCAUACCAAGCUAGAACAUAACAUAGAAAAUAAUAACAUACUAGACAAUUAUCACAAAAACAAUCAUCUACAACAACUCCCAAUAAUGGGCUGGCAUUGUGGCCUUAGAGCCACUUCUACUGGAAGGCAACUCGCCUCAAUGCUGCAAAGUAGUUGAACUAUCCUUGGCUCGGGAAUCAACCCCUCUCAACUCCUACACAUAAAAUAUUCCUUUAAUUCUCCUUUUCAUAUACAUGGCCCCAUAAGGGUAAAUUUUGGUUAAAGACCAAGUCAAAGUCAACGUCAUGGUUGAGUCAACUCGCCGAGUUGGUCCACCAACUCGUCGAGUUCCAUGAUCCAUAAGAACCUGAAAAUCUCGAUCCAACUCAUCGAGUUCUUUCAUGAACUCGUCGAUUUCCCCUUUAUACAUAGUCGGGACAUUUCGCUUGCAACUCGCCGAGUUCCUCCUUGAACUCAUCAAGUUCCUCAAUCUUCAUAACCCAAACCGUGGCCAACUCGCUGAGUCAUCUCCUAGACUCAACAAGUUUACUCAAUAACAGAAAAGGUUGGGGGUCCACAACCCAACCUGCUGAGUCGUAUGAACAACUUGUCGAGUCUCUCAUGGAAUGAAUCCAUACAGUCGAUUUUAUUCGGGCUCAAUGCAUCCAAAACACAGAUCUGGUUCACUAGUGUCGAUAUAUCACGUAAAGUUUAAAACUUUACGUGCAUGCAUGGGUUAUUUAGCUCAAAAGCCUUAAAAAAAGUGGUUCAUAUGAUGCAUGAGACUCCCAUGGCCAUAAAUUUGGCACCUUUAUGCCAUGGAGUCCCUCAAAGAUUCUGGAUUUGAAGUUAUUACCCCAAAACAUGCUUGCAUCCAUGAGUGGUUCCAUAUGGCCCUAAACUACCCCAUGAAGAGAUCUAGUAAACAAAUAGUGAAGGUAUAGACUUUAUACCUCAAAUGAACUGGAAAUGAAGUUCUUCUUCUAGAUCCAAAGCUCCUUCCUUCAACCAAGCACUUCUAGCUUCCACUCCUUCAAGAAAAUACCAAAGAAUCACUCAUUUUUCACUCACACACACUCACAAAGCUCAAAAUCACGAACUAGGGUUUGCUGGACUAUGGGAGGCGACGAAGGAGGCUAGAAUGGGGGAGUUAAGGUCUUUAAAUAAGGUGCAAACCCUGAAAAUUAGGGUUCCACUCUGGCAGCCCUACUCGUCGAGUUAGGGCUCCCCAACUCGUCGAGUAGACUUUGCCACCUGCAUCCAAAUCCAUUCUUACUCGCCGUUUUUGGGGCCUCCAAUUCGUCGAGUCCGUAUACAAAAAAUGAACAAACUUUUAAUUAAAUACAUACGAGGAACUAGGCCUUACAAUUGUACUUUAGACUCUUCACUUUUAAUUAAUUAUAUUAAUCCCAAAAUUAAUUCCAGUUAAUUUAUGAUUAAUUAUUAAUUAAAUAUUACUAUUUCUAAUUAAUAUAUUAUUCUCAUAAUAUAUUAAUAAACUAUUUAUUUCAAUUUAUUAAUCUAAUAAUAAAUCAAUUAACCUCUCUCUCUCUAAAAGUCAUCAUGUUCAAUUGCUAGGUUUAAGGGUAACCCAAAAGGACUGUGCUACUAUCAAUUCAAGUAUAUACCAAUUAUAGUUAUGGGCUUAGACACUUAAUCCAACAAACAGUGUCGUAAUCAUCUUUAGUGUCUUACCGACACACAACCCAAUAGCAGAUCCCAAAUCAACAUUUCUUGUAGACACCAACCUAUAAUUGAAAGAGGAAACCUUAAGGUUACCACAACUUAAUAAUAAAAAUAUAAGUAUGUAAACAUUACUAUACUCAGCUCCUUGGAUUCCCCAUAACUUCUCUUUACUCGGGUGUGGAUCAUGUGCUUUCGAUAGUAUAGGCCCUACUACUAUUGUCCACACCGAUCAUUGCCUGCUCCAAUUUCCAUCCCGUAGUAGCCAAGUCACUUCUCAUCGACAAUUCUAACGAUGUGCCCUACACCACCACAUGCCAACACUCUUCCUAACUCAAUAUGACUCCCACCCCACCAUGUUAUUCUACCGGAAAGAAACUCAUAUUAAUGCUAACUAACUACAUCGUGAAUACUAUUACAUGCAACUAGAAUUAAACAGGCUUUUAACUGAAGAUAUCACACUACAAUAGUUGGGCUCAAACAAGAGCUACAAAAUAGAACUAAGCCUACAGUCUAAGGCCACUUAAUUCUAGGGGCAUGCAACUUAAAAUAUUCGUCCGAUAGCUAAUUGAUAUUAACAAGAAUUCCUAAAAUCACAAAGCAGUCGGCAAAUAAGAAUUAAAAAUUAACAGGUCAUUCUAGCAUAUACAUGAUAAUCUCAUAUUUAAGAUAAUAAGCAAUUUGAACACUUUCCCGUUUUCAUCUGGCACCGGCCGAAUAUACAUAUUGUGCUUGCAACCACCCUAUUCAAACUAUUCAUUUAGUUUUCAUAAAAUUUUAUUUUAGAAAAUAAACUUUAAGCCGAAAACUUGAGUUCAAAACUCACUACAGUGAGCUUGAUUCUCUUAAGUUGUGCUCGGGUAGCAACUUGUAGCAUCCCAAAAUUUUCCAGUAAAUUUGAGCUUUUUAAAAUAACAUAAAUCGUCGAUUUAAUAUAUUUUAUUCAAACAAAUGAAAUACCAAACCUCAAGAUCAAUUCAAUUUCCAAACGUUUUAUUAGGUAUAAUUCUAAAAUUUAUGAAAACAUAACCAAUUCAAUAUCAAUUCCAAAAACCCGCUCGAGCCAGUGUGUACUGUCACGCCCUACCAUCAUGUGUACCUAAAACAAUAUUUUGAAGGGAAAAAGUGUAAGCACAAAUCUUAGUGAAUUCCACACAUACAUAGUAUCAUAUCAUAUAAUCAUUACCCAUAUAUAAUAAUACAAACGGUAUCAACACACAAACACGUAUGCAUGUCAAAGAACGAAUAUGUAACAGACAUACUCAUACUGGGACACAAUAGCUAGGCCUGAUCUCCCUUGCUCAGUACAUCGAGCCCUAGUGACACUUUGUCUAAGCCCGAUCCCCCAUACCCAAACCCAUUGGGACACAUUGGCCAUGUCUGAUCCCCCUUGCUCAAUUCAUCGAUCCUUUGGGACACAUUGAUUACACGUGAUCCCCAACUGGAUGUGUCAAUUCCUAUAAUGCAUAAUCCUCAAUACGUAAGGGAAACCUCUAGACUCUACCCCGCCUAGUACUACCUGCAUAAACAACACGUAAAUAGAAUAUAGCACAACACGGUGUAGUGAGGAACUCACUUCCAAAAGAAAAGAAACCUCCAAAGCAAUUUGGGACUCACUCACAGCUUAUCACCCUUCACAUUCCCUAAUAAUAACAAUUUAAGUUAAAUUUAGCUACACAUUUACCAUAAUUAUUCAAAUAGGAAAACAGGUUAAAUUUUAGAUUUUUACAUAAAAUUUAAGCUCUGUUCGGGACCUGUUUUUCCCUCCUUAAACUCUAUAGUUUCAAAACUGUAUUACAUGUAGGUAUUUCAUGUCAAUAUCAUUUCAGGGACUACUUACACGCACUCAUACGAUUUUUCUUCAAUUUUUGGUGAAUUUUACAAAAUUGUCUCGCAUUGCAGCUCAUUCCGGACCAAUCUGGGUAAAUGGUCGUUUUCACGUCGUGGGAAUGUCCAGACAAACGAGUCGCGAUGUUGAACCUCUUCCACGACAUGGGGACCUCUUUUCCACGUCGUGGCUACUACUAGAAGCCAUUCAUUAAGAACUUAAUCAUUACAAAUCAAAGCUCAUAGUUCAAGAUCUGAUUUUUCUUAAUGACUUAAUGGAUAAAGUUUCCAACUUUAUCCAUUAUGACUUCCCCACAAGAUAAGAUCUUAAACCCUGAGUCCUUAGUAUGACCAAAACUAGAGCAUGGAGCAAAGGCAGCUAUAGCUUAACACUUUUUCCAUCAAAUAAGACCAAAAAAUGGUCACCAUACAAGCCUAAGGUUCAGGAGUUGCCCAAAAAUCCAAGAACAUUCCUUCAAGGGACUUCAUCACAUGAAAUAAGAGAAAAGGAUGAUAAAGGUGGAGGCUUUAUCCCUUCCCAAUCUCCAUAAGAUGCAAGAGAUGCAAGAUCUAAAGUAGAUACACCCUUCCAACUAGUAAACACACAUUCUUCUUCUCCCUAAGGUGGAAACCAAGGCUUCAAACUUUAAGAACUCCAAGAACUCAUGAAGAACACUUAAAUGGCGCUAGGGUUUCGAAAUAGGAGGAUGGAGGCUGAGUGAAACAAGCUAAACCUAGAGUUAAGGACUUUAAAUAUGGGUGAAACCCAAAAAAUCAUAGGCUUGGGCUACAACACUCACCACGUCGUGGCAACCAUCAUGCCACAUCAGGUGCUCUCCAAAAUGUGUGUUCCAUGAAAUCCAUUCCACAUCGUGAUCAUCCAUGCACCACGUAGCGGCAUAGGGUUUUUUUUUCACAAAACCCAUCUUUGAUCCUCUUAGCUCAUUAGCUAAACAGUUCUAGAAAACAGGUGUUACAAAGGCCCCUUUAGUAAUUUCACAUUUUUUCCUAUGAAAUCGCAUUUGAAAAACAACUAUUUCCGGAUAAAGUUGCCCCUUGGAACCCCGCAAGGGGGUGCAGCCUCCUUGACAUCGACUUUUUAAAAAGCACCGAGAUUAAUCUAUACUAAUAUAAGUGUACACUCCGCACCUCCAACAUUGUAUUAAAACUAAGAUAUAAUCUCAUUGGAAACAUGUAUAGAUUCCAUUACAUAAUAUGAACUCGUCACACUAAAAUCACCAACAUGGGAAAUCAUUAAUUAUUGAACAAAUGUGAGAAGUUGGCAACGUGCUUGAUGUGUUCAUUGCAAAGAGAAUAUCCAGGGUGGACAAGAUGUCCAACUUUAUGAGGUACAUACCAGUACCCUAUUUCCAAGAACCAUUACACAAUAUUUGUGAUUCGUGGAUUGGCUAUUACAAUGUCUUCACCCUUCAAGCUAAAUUUGACAGGAAUGAAAAUGUUCUUCAACCAACUACCCAACAGGAUCAACCAAGUGGACGUAUGCAUAAAGAAGUGAAAGUUUCUAAAGGAAAGGCAAUGUCAUUCGCGAAUGUGGUUUCGGUAUAUAGAGAGGGUAAACGAGAAAUAAGCAUACAAUUUACCGGCUAACUAUUUUUUACACGACUUACAAAUAAUUUUUUAAUAUUUUACACGUUUUAGCAAUUAUCUUCUAGUUUUAUUCAAAAAAUACUAUUGAAAUUGUUUUGUGUACACAUUUACCUUGGUUACAGUUUGAGGUGGCAUCCAGGUGCAUGGCUGCCAACUUGAAUUCAAGAUAACAUCAUGGAAGCCUUCAUUCUUACACAUUACUUGCAAGUUUCCAAUAGUUAAGAUUGAUACAUCCAAGAAUGACACCUAUUUGCAUUGUGAUCCACUCCACUAGCCUCCAAAAUAAUUAUCGUUGUUUUCUUCUCUUCUGAUGCCUUCUUUUUUCUCCUUCUCUGUCACUAAUUCCUCAAAUAUCACUUAUUUGUCGUCCACCUUCAUAUACUCCCAUAUUUUUCUAUCCAUGUUUCUGUUCAUUUCUCAUCUUAAAACGAGCAAAAAUAAAAAUACAACAUAACUUCAAUCUAUAAUCAAAAUAAAUUAAUAAAAAGCUAGCUACACCACUUUUAGAAAAAAUGGUUAUCAAAGAAAAGAAAACAAGGUAGCUCAUCAGCUUUGCCUAGGGCUGCAACGAAUGUUUGAGUUGUUACAUAAAACGGUGUCUACCAAUCACUCUAAAAUCAUAAAUAAGGGAAGACUGGGCAACAACUCAAAUUAAAGGACGAGGAAUUAUAAAGAGAAAACAAGUUGAUAGGCACAAAAAUUUGCUACCAGUAUCAUAUAAAAUAUACUUACCACCAACUUGUCUAGCCGGUAAAAAUUGGUAAAGAUAUAUACCAAUUUAUUUUAAUUUUCAAUUAUAAAGGAACUUUUCAGUUUUUUUUUUUUUUUUUAGUUUAAUGGCUAAUACCAUGCUUUUAAAUUUGUAAACAAUAAACACAUAUCACAAUUGAAAUAUACGAUUAUAUAUAAGAAAUGAAUUGGUUCGGUACAAAACAUGUUGGUUUUCUGUGGUACAAAUUUGACAGUCCUAUUCAUUUAUAUAAUAAAUAUAAAGGUUAGUUUAGGUUAAAGGAUUUAAGCAGCAAAUUGAUUUAAAUUUUAAAAAAAAAUUGGUAUUUCAUGCCAAAACAGAAUGAUUAAAUGUACAUCCUUAGAGCCAAUCGGAAUACGGGUCGUCUCUGUAAGCAAACGGCUCCAUAUAUGAUGUUUUAUAGUCGCUCUGAUGAGAUUUUCUCCAUCCAUGUAAAUCUAUGACAGUGUGAUAUAAAGAUUAAUCAGUAUUUGCAGCUUAAUCUAGAUGAAAAGCAUCAGCUCAAUGUGGGACUUACCUUUACGAGGAAUAUUAUCACCAACUAACAUAUUGAACCAAUCAGGAGUGGUUGACUUGAAGUAAUCGCAACGACAAAGAUAGUAGCUUCCUGUAGCCAGCUCAAAUUCAGAUAGAGCUCCUCCAAUAAUUUCUUCCUCUUUCUUGUAAUCUUUGUAGUAUUUUGGCUCUACUUCAUCAUCAUCAUCCAUGAACACAAGGCUGACACCACACCUGCUUACCAUCCAUCCAUCCCCCACAAUGAUGGACACAUUGAUUUCAUCUCCAGCGUCUAAUAUGUUCCCUAUGGGCCAAUAGCUAAACCAUCCAGCAUCUUCUCCAACUUCCACAUUGGCAUAGAUCACAGGGUUAUACAUCCAAGUAAGGCCCUUGCUUGUAUUGCUGACUUUGGCAAACAAAGCCCGCGUAUAUUUAUCCCUGUAUGAUGCAGAUAAAGAUAUGCCUGAUCCUCUGUAUGACGCGGUUAUGUUUAAUCCACAGAUUCUGCCAUUCUCAGGACAAGAAGGCACACGAAAGGAUAAGAAUGCAGACAACGACAUAUAUUUGGGCGUUGGCAUGCUUUGAUCCCUUAUGCGUGCCAGAUAUGUGCUCAUUAUACCAUAUUCAUACAGCACCUGGUCAAACAAAUAGAAGAAAUAUCAAGUUAUUCAUAAAUAAAUCAGUUUUUUUUCAGUGUCAAAAAGAUGUCUUUUUUUUUUUUUGUUGUUGUGCUUAUUCAUGCAUGCAGGAGAGAGAGAAAGGUACCGCUCUAUGCGAACGGUAUGUUGUGAAAUCAUCACAUAUGUGCAUCUCCUUAGUAUCAUGAUAUCCUUUGAUCCAUUUCAUAUGUCCUAAAUCUGCUUCAUCAAGAUAUUCUAAUGGCACCAAUUUGAAAAGGCCUUGAAUUUCAUACAAGUUUCCACAACCGAGAUAUUCAAAUUUCCGCAAUCUGAACCCAGCGGAUUCGAAUGUUAUUUUCUCCAGUGAAGAACACCAAGAUGUACACAACUCUUCUAGAGUACUUGGGAGACAAAGGAGGUAUUUUAUAUUUGGACAACUACUCACAUCGAGUACACGAAGCAUUUUAAGAUUGGUAAGUGGCGUUAACGGAUUACUGCAGCGAUAGAGAAACAAAAGCUUUAACGAGUCUGGAAAAGGGACCAACAAUGAUGCUUGCAUUCCUCCAUCUUUCCAAGGUUGAUUACACCCUCCAAAGUCCAGUAGAGAAAGCUUCUUAAGACCUCUGAUGGUUUCCAAAACAUGAGUCAGACUGAGACGGAAACAGUACGAGAGAAUCAAAGUCUCGAGAUUAGGAAGUCGGGAAAGAUGGCGGAUAUUGACAAGAUUGAAGGACCAUUUAAGAUUUAGGAUCUUCAGCGAAUUAAGAACCUAUUCAAAGAAUACAAACAUAAGGUGUUAGAAAGUUGGGAAGCUAAAAGGUCAAGUGACAAAGAAGACAUCAAAUUCCUACCAUGGGCGGUUCAAACUUUUCCAGAAAUCCAUAGCUCAUAUGUAUAGCCACCAAGCUGCUCCCAAAUAAGCUGGAUGGUAUUUUUUUCAAACGAAAACUAGUCCAAUACAACCAUCUCAAUUCUGGAAAAUUCUUGUAGGACCCCUUGAGUUCCACAUGUUCUAGCUUGAGCAAUUUCAGUUUGUCCAUUUUUGCAAGUGUAGCUGUAUCAAGGGUUGAUGGCUGCAAAUUUAGCAUUAAGUUAAUUAAUUAGUACAUAAAAUAUACUGAAAUAUGAGUACCACAGUCAUUCACAUCUUUGGCUUACAUUUGAUGUCAUCCCUUCGUGGAGCUUUUGCAUGUCAAGUGCUAGACCUUCAAUUGUUUUUGAACCCUAACGGAGAAAGACAUGAAAUGAGACAAGGAAAGUUAACAUAGGAGGUUCAUGUCAAAGGGUAAGAAAGUAAGUUUAAUGAUACAAAUAACUAAGAAGCAUCAUACCUCUCCGUUUCUCAACAAACGAUAAGAUUCAUCAGUUUGUGAGACUCUACUACGUGCUGCAGGAUCUCUGGACUCUUGAAGGACUAUGUUUCUUGCCAUCUCUUGAAGCAGUUGAUGCACCAUCAAUUUUUUACUUGGUGAGAUGGUAAGAAGGCAUCUAUUAAUGAGGGUCCUGAUCCCAGCCUUUGCAUGCCAUUCAUGCUCCAAUAUCUUUGCCACAUAACCCUCAUAUUCACCAACAAAGAAAAAAACAAUGUGCAGAAACAGCUGUUUGUUACUGGCAUGUGGUAGUGAGUCAAAGCUCUUUUGUAGUAUAGCUUGGAUUUUACAAUCAAGAUCUCCUUUCAAUGAAUUCAGUGAGUUCAAUGUACUUCUCCAAACCCCUAUCAUGCUAUUUUUCUCCCUUGGCUCUUCAGCAUCAGAAAAUAGAGAAGAACCCAAUACUUUAAGAGCUAGUGGGUUUCCACCACAAUACUUUGCUAACUGAACUGCAAGCUCCUUGAAACCUUUCAUAGGAAUUUUGGAUCCAAAUGCAUGGAAACUCAAAAGCUGUAAUGAUUCAUCAUCAUUCAACAAUUCAGAUUCUUGCACCUCACACCUCCAAGAUAUGGAUCUGAACCAUGCACGUAUAUCUAAAAGCCUAGUUGUUAUUAUGAUCUUGCUUUGGGUACGAGAAGCCCUUGUUCCAAGUAAGGCGUCUAAUUGGUCAUGUCCAUCAAUAUCAUCAAGAAUGAUAAGCGCCCUUUUCACUAGUAAGGCAUCCUCAACCUUCCUUGUCCCUGCAGAUACAUUAGAUAUACUUCCAAUAUUAUUUCCCCCUAGAAUGUCUGUGAGAAGUUGUUUCUGUAGCCCAAGCAAACCAUCAGACUGUUUAGAGUGCUUUCCAAUCUCUUCAAGGUAACUGCUGCUUCCAAAUUUUUGCUUGUUUGAGUUGUAAAUGAAUUGGGCCAGAGUCGUCUUGCCACUACCUCCCAUGCCACAAAUUGCUAGAACGUUAUCACCAGAUUGCUCUUUUUCCAACCAAGAGUUGAUAGCUAUAGCUCGAGAAUCUAUUCCAAUUAGAUGAGCUGGAGUACUAACUAGUUUCAAAUCUAGUUCAGAGUCGAUUGUGCCAACAAUUUUUGUGAUAAACUCUGUUUCAGACCUGCAAGAAAAGAAUAAAGAAAAUGAGCACAUUCAGAGCAUGCCAUUUAAACUUCUUGAACACUUUAAGUUGCUUCAGUUAUAGUGCAUGGAAUUCAAAAUGUUCUAGCAAAUGUACUAUUCUUCCUGCAACCAUUACCAACCAAAUAAAUAUGAUGAACUGAGGUGUAAAUAGUAAGUGUAUAUGCAAUCUGAUUGAAUUAAGUUUUCAAUAAUGUGAAGCCUGUGAAGGCCAACUGUAUAUACACUCGAAUUGAAUGAAUCAGGAUUGGGCAACAUGCCAAGAUGGACAGGUUGUUCAGGCUUUUUCCAUUGGUUGGCGUGUAGGGCCAAAGUCAAACCAGAAUACCUGCUAUGUUAUCAGUGUUUAAUUUUAGUUUCACUUCUCACUCAUUAUUUCACAUCAUAUACACAUGUGUGAAUAUAUGCAUAUUCUAUAUUUAUACCAAACCAUUAAUAAGUAAGGAAUAGAAUGGCAUAAUGUGUAUACAUAAGUAACUAAACAGCUAUUUGUCUGAUCAAGUAAAAUUGCAAUCUUCACUAUAAAGAACGUUCAAUUAUCAUGCCAAAUGUAUCCGGAGACAAGGAGCUAAGCAAAUGAACUAUGUGCAAAAGUAAACCAACAACUUAGACUACUAUGGAAAAGGCCAUACAAUAACAUGCCAUGAAAUAAAUACACAGCUAAGCCUCCAAUCAUCAAUCUGGUUUUGCUCUUUGCAUUAAUUUAAAGCAAUAUGAGCCAAAGAAACUUUCAUGAUUUGAUAUUUUAAUAUGCAUACCUGAAUUCGAUCGUCUGCUAGGUAAAAUUACGAUUCCUUAUCAUAUUUAACAAUCUCAGUUAACUAAUCAAAAAGAUGUUUCAAAGGAUUAAACAAUAAACACGAAUAGAGAAAGCAUACCCCGAAUAAACCAUUCCGGUCAAAUCAGCAACAUCUGCAAGGGCUGCCUUCCAUCGAUUGACAUUAUACUCUGUCCAUUUUGACCCUUCUACUCCUUCCUCUACUUCUAUUGCAAAACUUCGUCUCUGGUUCCUGACAUCUGAGGGAUCGACAUGGUAAAACACCGGUAAAACAAAAUGAUUAAAGCUCAGCCUUUGCUCAAGGAUCAACAGCAGCUCGUCAAGGCACCAUCUGGAAUUCGCAUACUUCUCUGACAAUACAACUAUAGAAGCCCUAGAUUCUUUGAUUGCUCUCUCGAUUUCCGGCUUCAGUUCUUGACCUCUGUCGAUAUUAUCAUUAUCCCUAAAAGUGCGAACUCCUGCUCGUUUUAAAGCUGCAUAGAGAUGAUCUGUAAACGAAUUACGAGUAUCUUCACCUCUAAAGCUUAAAAAAACGUCAUGGCAGCAGGUAUGAUUCAGCAGAGAAGAAGAAGAUGAUGAUGAUGAUGAAGCAGACGCCAUUGAAAUUAGUGAGAUGAGAGAACAAAGAGGAGUAUAAAGGCAUCAAAGUCAACUCAGUCUCCGGAGAAUUUGAGGUGUUCGGUGAAGUUGGGUUGUCGUUUUGGCACACUACAUUUUCUACGCGUUUGUUUCGAAUACUUAAUCAAAAAAUAAGAAAAUUGUUAAACUAAUAAAAACACUAAUUACUUAUCUAUUUUUUUUUUCUUUUUUACCAUUUUUUUUAACCGGCAAAUACAAAUAUAUUAAUUUACUCCUAAACUAACACCUAAUUUCACCUAUAUCCACGACGGGACUUGAACCCUCGACCUCAAAGAAGGAGGGCACCACUUGAUACCGUUGGGCUAGAAGCCCUUUUUUACCAAAUGACUUCUAGCAGAGAUGGUCCCCUGUAGGUUCAAUUAAAAAGACAAAAAAAAACCAUUUUUAACCAAAAAUUAACGGUUGUUUCGAAACAACCUCUAAAACAGUAGACUUUUAGGUUUGUUUAAUGUUUCGCUUUUUCACAUAUUAUUUCGUGUUUUCGCCUAUUGUUUCGGUUUUACUAUAAUAAAAUAAAAUAAAAUAAAAAAUCAUUUUCUGGACUAAAACUUUCGGUAUUAUUUUAUCUACGGUAUUUUCUUAAGUUGGGCUACGAUUUUCCUUUUUUUUCUUUUUUGAAAAAAAAAAAUAUUAAAUGUGAACUAUAAUAUAUUUAUAUACAACUUACAAACAAAUUAAAAAAAUAAUAAAUAAAUAAAUAAAUAAAUAAAACGUAGGCUUCAUACGAAACCUAUGGUGUACAAGUACACAAUGCACAAUAUAUGCAUUGUAUACUUGUACACCGUAGGUUUUGUAUGAAGCAUAUGGUUUCAUAUUUUUUUGUUUUUUUUUGAAAAAAAAAAUAUACGUAUAAAAACAACUCCUAAUCAGUAAUACGGUAAAAUUUCUUCAAAAAACGAAAAAUAACUCAUUGUUCUUUGAAGGCUCCAUUGAGAGAAAAUAGUAGAUAAAAUCAAGAAAAAAAGUAGGCCAAAUGACUUAAUUUGAAAAAUAAACCAUUAUAUAUUAUGAGUCGAUGCACCCUGCAAGAGUAGACAGGCCAGGAAAGAGUGGCUCAUUCAUUGUCCGAAACAGUAAUCAAACUUAAAAAAUUUCCGUUGACCGUGGUCAAAUUGUGUUUGACAGUAGAUGGUCCUAAUCAUCUUCGGUUUCUUGGGCUAUUUUGGAAAAUAUGGGUAUUUUUUUGCUAAAAAUGAAUAAGUCAUUAAGGAUUUAGACUAAUUUAGUAAUUUUUUCUUAAAAAAUUAAUUAGUCAUUGUUUAAGAUUUUCUUGUUAAGAAAAAGUAUUCAUAUGUUUCUGUAUUAAAAAAAAUCAAACAUUUUAAAUGUCCUAAAAUUUAGUAAUUUAUUUCAAUAAAAAGUAUUUAUAUGUUUAGAUUUUCAAUAAAAAAUAACUUUACUCUAAAAAUCUAUAAUCAAUGAGAUUCUAUAUUUUUAAAAAUUUGAACACAUUCAUAAAUUAUUUAGCUAUUUUGUGUUGAUAUGUAACUUAAAAUAAUAAUAAGUUCAUUAAAAUAAAUACAUUAAAAUCAUACAUAUAUAGGGACAUCUAUUUUAUCUUAAAUGAUAAAAUAUUUAUUUUUUUGGCCACAUGGCACUAUUCUACAACUUCAUAAUUUUUCUUCGGUUAAUUCCAUUGGCAUUGAAUUUUAAUAAUCUAUUAUUUUUUUAUUUAUUCGUUAAUUAGAUUAGAGACUUAUGUAUUAUAUAGAUUGAUUAAAAAAAUUAUAUAAUAAGGUGUAAACAUUAACAUUUGGAAAACGAAAAUUUUCAAUAAUAUAUGACUUAAAUAAGAAAUAAGAAAGUACUUUAAUCUAAUAAUAAAGCAAUAUUGUUGAAAAUAUUUAAAAAGAUUGUCUUAAAUCACAAAUUUCCAUACAUUUUUUUAAUACAAUUUUGAAAGUUAUAUUGGUAAGUCUACCAUUAAAAAAUACUAUAAAAUGUUACCAUUAUAGACCUCAAAAAAAAUGCUUAAAAAGGUUAAAUAUCUUUGAUUUCAAUAGUGGCCCGCUAUAUUUGAGAGUGCCUUGACAAAAAAAUAUCCUUCAAAAAUAUUUUCAAAGUUUAUGUUAUAUAAUAUUACUGUUAUAUGUAAUUACGAUGAAAGGAAAAUGGUAUAAUUCACAUUUAAAUGAAAAUAAAUUACAAAUCUAAAACUAAAUUGUAAAUAAAAAAAUAAAAAGAAAAAAAAACAACAACAACAACAAAAACAAAAAAAAACAAACUAACUAACUAACUAAAAAAAACAAAAAACGUUUGUCUCCCGAUAAAAUGUCCAUAUUGCAAGUAGCUAAAAUGAAAGUAAAAUGGUUUGUUUAACAUUGAAAUGAAACUAAAAUGUUAGAAAUAUAUUAAAAUAAAAUUGUAAUAUUAUCUUUGACAUUGAAAUGAAAGUAAAUGGCUAUAAUUGACAUCAAAAGGAAAGUAAAAUGCUAUAAUUGUAACGACCUAAAUUUGCUAUCAUUGUCGAGGUCAGGGUUUCGUUAAGUUUUCUUCUUAAACUAACCUUUUUCUAGGUUUAAAGUUGAGUUAUCAAGGUCAAAAUGUAAUAAAAUGAUUCUUGAACAUGUACAUGAGUUUAGGAGUCACCUUGUCAUAUUUUGAAUGCCUAUAUUGUAACUUAUGGGGUAUUUAACUGAGGAUAACCCAAAAAGUCAGAUUUGUAACCCUAAUUGCAGCUAACAACUUCCAUUUAAGAGAGUUUGUGAGUAAUGUUUCCUUGCUUGAAGAUUAGAAGUAAUCAAGAAGUUGGUGAUUUUGAGGUUUUUUUUUGGUGGUUUUUGAAGUAGUGUAGCGGUGGUCUCUCCUCAUCAUCCUGCUCCUAGAAUUUCCUAAGAUUUGUAGAGGUAUUAAUUGAUUCCUCAACUCUCAUUUAUUAUUUGGGUUUAAUAGGAACAUAUAUCCUGGAGGUUAUGCACAAAUAUGGUACUUUUAGAAAAAGUUUGAAAUGUAGAUAGAAUUGUUGACUUGUCUUGUGAGGGCUAUAGAGCCCAAUCCAGUCUGAAUUAGACAAUGGACUUUACAGACAAAAUUGUAAGAAGUCGACUCUAGUUUCCAAGGACUAUGAUAUCAGUCCAUUUGAAGUUGGAUUAUGUUUUAUGCUCAAAACAUUGAACAUGGAUUAGGCUUGUGAAACUUUAAAAAAUAUGAAAAUUAGAUUUUGUUUUUUGUUUUGAUUUCUCAUUUUGUAUUGAGCUUUUAUGAAAUUGUUUAUGGUGUUCAUUAGUGGUGUUGGGUGGAUAUAUUUAUGUUUUACACAUUAGUCUUGGUCCAUCCUUUUUAGAGUUAGUCAGGAACUUACAAAUCUUGACAAGUCAUUAUUUGAUAAAAAUUAGUCUAGCUUGUCUGUGUAUUUCCAUGCUAGUGAUAUGUUCUGGAAAACAUGUUAUCUUGUUAUAGUAUGUUAGUAGGAUGUAGUGUAUGCUAGAUGAUAAUUAUUGUGGUAUAUUCAUGCUAGUUUAUAGUAUAUGGAUUAUUGUGUUAUGUUGUAACGCCUGAUUCCUGAUACACAUUUAAUUAUGAUUUAUUGAUUUUUAUAGAACAACUCGACGAGUUGGUAGCCCCAAACGCAUCAAGUAGAGACAAGGAAGGGAUGCGGGUUUUAAGCAAUCUACUCGACAAGUGGAGAGACCUCGACUCGGCGAGUAGGUCUACCAUAGUGAAAUCCUAAUUUCAGGGUUUUGCACCCUAUUUAAGCAUCUUAAUCCCCACUUUAUGGCCUCAUUUAUAGCCUCCAAGUCCCAAACCCUAAUCCAUGAAAUCCUAGAGCCUUGUGUGAGUUUGUGAGCCAUUUUAAGUGAUAUUUGUGUGAUUUGAAGCUUAUAGAAGAAGAAGAAGAAGCUAGAGGGCUCCAGGAGAAGGUUGUAGAUCCAGAAGCAACAUCUCAUCCUCUUCAUUUUUUGGUAAUCAAGACUCUAACUUGCCUAGUAGUCUCUUAGAUCUCCUUAUUUUCACUUUAUGAGGGUUUUUGGUCCAAGAAGCUUAGCCCUUGGGGAAUGGACAUCCCAAGUGAAUUACCUUUCAGAUUUGGGUCUAGAAGGGGUUUCAUGCAAACUUUAUGACCAUGGAAGCCCCAUGCAAGAUUUAAGGUGUUAUCAUGCCCUUUUAAGCCCCAAAAGGUCAUGCAUGGAAGGAAAGCAUGAGACUUUACGUGUUCAUUUGGUGUCUAGGACCUAGAUCUCGGUUUUCGUGCUUUGGUUUGGAGUAUUAUGGCUUUUGGAUAAAGAUCUAUGUCCUAAAGAACUAGGGUUUGAGCUAAACCCAUUAAGAAGGACUGUUAAUGGGUAAAGUUGGAAACUUUACCCUUAAGAGGGCAUUUCCAGUAUGUAGAAGAAGUAUGGAGUUUGGAUCUGGAGAGUAGAGGAUUAAUUUGUUAAGAUGGCCCAAACAGACAGAGGAACUCGUCGAGUCCAUAAAGGAACUCGACGAGUUGAGUCGUUUUGUCCCAUUUCUGAUUAUGGUAGAAAUCGACGAGUCUAAGGAUGACUCAACAAUUUGAUUUGCUAAAUCACGACUAUAAGUAGCCAGAUAGAACUCGACGAGCCAGGGGGUGAGUCUGCGAGUUGGAUCGUGAUUUCAGGAUUUUUGAGUUAUAGAACUCGACGAGUUGAUAGGUCAAUUCGACGAGUUGGGUAAACCCAGAAUAUUGACUUUGACCAAGGGUAAAAUGGUUAUUUUACCCUUAGAAGGAUUCUCAGUUUUGACUAAGUGAUUAUUGUGAUAAUGAUAGUCGGGGAGUUGUUGGAGCAGCCAUCAGAGAUUCCUCACACGAGAUUGCAUCAGCCAACUUAAGAGGUGAGUUUCUUUCAGUAGGAACGGAUCGAAGGCACCAAUGUCGGCCUGUGUAGAGUAGCUAAGUGUGGGCUGGGCCCGUAUCUUAGAAUUAUUAUGUUUGGUAACUAUGUGUGGGCUAGGCUCGUAUCUUAGAAUUAUUAUAUUUAGUAGCUAAGUGUGGGUUGGGCCUGUCUCUUAGACUUUUUUAUGAUUAGUAGCUAAGUGUAGGAAGGGCCCAUAUCUUAGUAUUAUCUGAACAUGUUUAUGAACUGGUAGAUCAUAGUUAUACUUGUUGUCUGUGUGAUACUUGUAUGGCCCGUAUCUCCCGGAUAGCGGAGCGUGGCCGAGGCCCGUACCUCCUAGCCAACUAAGUGUGGGUGAGGCCUGUAUCUCCUAGUUAGUAGAGUGUGGGCGAGGCCCAUAUCUCUGGGAUAGUUGAGAGUGGUUGAGGCAUGUAUCUCAUAGUUAGCCGAGUGUGGGCAGGGGCCCGUAUCUCCUUGAGUGUGGGCAAGGCCCGUAUCCCCUAGUUGCAUGUUAUAUGUUAUGUGUAUGGUAUAGGGUAGUUUGGGGAGAUUCAUUAAGCUUCAUGCUUACAUUUUUUAGUUUUGGUUUUAGGUACUUCUGGUAGCAAAGGGAAGAGCUCGGGAUGAUUGCAGCGCACACACUAUUUGUUCAGCCUAAGAUGUUUAGACUCUGAUAUUUUGACACAUGAUUUUGAUACAGUAUUUUGUUAUAAUGAUUUGAGAUACAUUACUUAUGAUUUUAUGAUAUGAUGAAUGGUAUUUAUGGUUUGAUGAAUAAUUAAAAACAAAAUUUUUGGACCGUAUUCUUGGGAUGUUUCAAGUUGGUAUCAGAGCCUUGGUUUGAGGAAUUCAGACACACUCUCAGGUGUGUCUGAACUCAAAUUGAGGACUUGGUAUGAAAAUUUUCAAAAGAAAAUCAUUUUCAUAAAAGGGAACUUUGAACAGAGAAAAGAAUUUCGAAAAGAGAAAAGAAUUUUGAAAUGACAAAAAGGGUGUGGUGCAUGCAAUCAGCCGAGAUCAAGUAAGUACUCCCAAAUUACCCAUACAAUUUAUGUUAUGAUAUGUUUAUGAGAACUGCAUGUUAGAUUAGGGCUAAGGAUCUAGGAAGGAUGCCUUAUGUGCAUGUUAUAUGUGUAUCAACUUUAUGAACUGCAUGCUAGUACAGAUUAGUCAAUGAUAUGAUAGUCUGAUUAGGAUAUGCUUGAUUAGGUGUACUCAAUGCUCGAAUGCUACUUGCUUUGUGCUUUUAGGAGUUUUAGUUAUCUCUAACUAACGUAAACGAAUACGUUAAGGUACAUAUUGUGAGGACUAAAUAAUUUUAGAAGGUUAGGUUUAGCCUUAUUUUGCAGCUCUCGUUUGAUCUAACCGUUGUAGGGUAGGACCUCUCAUUCGAAGAAUUAUCUAGUAUUAGUGAUAUGUAAUGGUAUCCACAAGCUGGAUAGGGGGAGAUAGUAGGGACUUCUUAUGCAGCUGAUGGCGGAGAGUGGGAUGGUGAUUACCCAAGGGCAAGCCUAGGAUGAGAUUAACGUGUGGAGUAGUAGUAGUAUAAGGGACUUGGUGAAGUCGAGGCAGUUCUUGAGGAAAGUAUGAAUAGAUGUGGAAGGUAGUAUGGGCCCAUACUACUGAAAGCGGUGGAUUCGUACUCGAAUCGGGGAAGGCUGAGAUGAAUCCAGUGAGGGAUUAGGCUCGGGCUAUGAAGUGCUUUUCAAUAUGGUGGUAUUACGCACUAGACCAGUCAGUAGUUCAGGUGCCGAUGAGGGAUCAGGCUCGGGCUAUGGAGCUGGGCAACUAGAUGACCAGACGAGGGAUUUUAUCUCCUUUGAGAUCACGCGCAGUAUUCUGGAUCAGACUCUUGUGAUCUUCAGCACGAUCAAGGAGUGUAUUUUGGAGAUUUUAGAGGAGAGACUGGGUGCCUUCCGCAACGAGGAGGCGGCCAUGAUGGGGUCACACACACUAACAUUCAGGGAGUUCAGAGCUUGUGGAGUUCCUGAUUACCAUCGGACUCGAGACCGCAUUACGAGCACCAGAUGGUUGGCUGAUGUCGCCAACUCAUUCCGCACCAGCAGAUGUCCCGAGGGGGACAAGGUCCGAUUUUCAUCCUGUCUUUCUAAAUGAUAGGGAGUGAGAUUCGUAGGAGGAGGACGAAGGUAGAUUCAGCUGCAAGAUGUUGGAAGAUAUGAUUGCUAGGGCUCGAGAGAGAGAUUUAGAUUUAGAGAUGGAGAUGGAGAUGGAGAGGAAGAGGAAACCAGAUGGGGUUCAGUCAUGGAAUGUGGGCAAGAAGCCCAAGGUAGAUUCCCAAGGGAAGGGCCGAGGCAUUGUGGCAAGUGUGGUAGGACACAUGAUGGGGUAUGUAGGGCAGGUAGUUCGGGCUGCUUUAAGUGCGGCCGAACUGGACAUUUGAGCAGAGAUUAUACAACUACUACCACCACCACGAUAGUAUCAAAUCUGAUUUGCUUUCAGUACAAUCAGAGGGGACACAAUUGGUUCCAAUUCCCGAGUUUAGCAACAGCAGGGCAGGUAGCAAGACCCACUUCUACUACAUUGAGUAUUACAGACGGCCGUCAGGGCUAGGGUGAGGCACAUGUGACAAAGAUUAGGGCCUUUCAGUUGACUAUAGAGGAGGCACGAGCAGCUCCCGACGUGGUGACGGGUAUGUAUCUUCUCUUUAUUUCUUUAUUUGUACCGAUUAUUGCUUAUGUUUAUGUGUUUUGUUAUAGGAUUGUUCUUAGUGAACGGUAUAUCAGCUUUGGUACUGUUUGAUUCGGGUGCUACCCAAUCUUUUUUGUCGCUCGCCCUCAGCAAGCGAUUCACUGGGGCUCCAGGGGAGCUGGAUUGCCCACUUGACGUAGAGAUAGCAGAUGAUAGGACCGUUCGGGUCGCGAAGGUUCAUCAACAAUGUACACUGCAGUUGAUUGAUGAGCAGUUUUCCGUGAAUCUUGUCCGUGUUCCCCUAUGAGGGAAUAAGGUUAUAGUUUGUAUGGACUAGUUGAGCCCCAAUGGGGCAGUAAUCAAUUGAGAGCAGCAGGUAGUGAGAGUUUAGACUCCUAAUAGGGGAGGGUUAGUGAUUCAGGGCGAGAGGCCAUAGGGUGGACUGACCCUAUGUUCAGCAGCGAGAGCGAGGCGCUAUCUUCAGCAAGGUUGCGUAGGCUAUGUUGAUGGGUUUUAUGUACUCUAACAUUCCUAUGGUGCACAUACAAACCUAAUGCUUUGAAUCUAAGUUUUCUCUAAUUAUACAUAUGAUAAGUUAUAAAACAAACUUGAAGAUCGAUUAGAUCUUUGUAACAUGUAUUGCGAUGAACACAAAAACAAUAAAUAACACAAAUGUGGAUCAAAAUAUGUCGAAUGAUUAGAUCAAACAUUCCUCAGCAGAGCUCGACUAAGAACUUCCGCUGUAGAGGAUUUAGGGUUACAAGAACGAUAACAAUAAACUUCUAAAUAAUUCUCUGAUCGAUCUAUUCUUCCGUUAACUGCUAAGAUGCAUGCAAGCACCUGUAUUUAUACUAAACCCUAUUAAACUCACGGAUGGACACGCCCAUACCGGAGAUACAAAACGGACUAGCUAACGAGCCCAAUAGACGCAACACUAUAUACAAAACACGACCCAACAAUCUCCCCCUUUGCGUCAAAUUGGAGCGAGACUACUUCUUCUUCUUGCUUGGGCCAGCAGCGGGAACUUUCUUCGUAGUAUCAAACAGACGUGAGAUUAGCGCCAGGAUAGUCUGUCUUAACCGAAUGUACCAUUGAAUCAUGUCAUCAAAGUACUUGACAUCAUCCGCUGUGUUCUGCUUGCAUCUGUGGAUGAUCCCCAAAACGUGCUCUAAACAUGCAGUGGUGUAGAGGUGUUUAUCAGCCAAGGCGAAAAGACAUUUAUGUCCUUCGUUCCUGGUAAACAUGACCGAGUUCCUCUUCGGAUCAAUCUUACCCAUCUGCAUCAGAUUGAGAUCACUGGCAGAGCCAACAGGAGAUAUUGUAGGUUUCUUCUUAAAUACGCUCGCAAUCUCCUGAUCCAUCAGUGCAACUUCCAUGAUGUAGCACACGAGCAUCCUCUUGAAGUGGUCGAUGAUCGGACCGUAUUCAGCUUCGUUGGUGAGGAGGAUGUUGUGCAAGAUAAUCCAAUCAUGGGGAUUAAGGUUGGGAAGAUCUGCAAGGGAAAUAGCAUGUUCGGUUUUGGCAGAUCCCCGAAGUACCUUGAACCGAACGUUGAUGAAGUUACCUUCACUGUACGGCUUCAAGACCCGAACGUUGACAAUUUUCUGAGCGCUCCAAGUCUGAUAUUGGGGUUGAGCAGCCUUCAGAUAGAAAUUGAUUAAGUCCCGAUCAACCUGUGGAUGAGGAUGAGGGAACUCUGCAACGUUGGAGAAGGCAUGAAAGAUAAACGCCUUUCGGGUCAGUGGCAUGUCGAACUGUGAGUCGACAGUGUUGGAACGAUCUAGAGAGAUCACAGGUUCCAGCCACAAGAUACUCGGUGUGUCAAUGGCUUCUUUAAUCAUCCUCUCGAGAGUCCAAGCAGGAAAAAGAGUUUUCCUACUCUCAAGAAGGUCGUGGGCUUCCUUCUGUUUACGUUCGGCUUCUUCAGCCUCUCUUGCCACACGAGCACUGAUAUCAGCCUCUCUGUCUCGACCUUGACGCUUCAACAGGUCGGCGAUUGUCUCUUUAUCUUCAUCUUCACUCUCCUCAGCAAUCUUUUUGCCUUUGUCUUUCACACCGGAACCGGAGGCUUGGCCUACUGGAGGAGGUUCGGUUGUGUGAGUUGUUGUUGAGGUAGGAGGUGGUUGAGACAUUGUUUCCUUCUCUCCCCUUGUUUCGGAAUGGACACGAAAUCAAGUAGCCCUUCGAUUUUGCUGAGUAGGGCAACGGCGGGAGCGAGCUUCUCUGCAAGGUCACGCCUCACAGUGUAAUUGAGAAUGGGAUCAUGUGCUUCUAGGAUGUUUGAGAUUGCAGAGUGGACAUCCGAAACACACGAUUUUAUCACUUCUCUUUCAGAUCGAAGAGAUUCAAUCUCCUGUUGAGAGUGGGAGAGUUGAAUGCUCUUGACCUUCAAAGCGGUAGUCUUCCUCGCGAGAGCAUCCAUGAGAGUGUUCUCGCCAGCCAAAUCUUCUUGAAGCUUUGAGAUACUCUCUUCAAUGGUUGUGCGGAAAGCUGAGUUGUCAUCAGAAAGUGUUUGACGGAGAGAAGCGAAGGACUUCAACUCAGUUGUGACUGAUGUUGCCAGCUGGUGAACAAUAGGUUCCAGCGUAGUCUUGGCAGCGUUGGCACUCUCCUGUAAAGACUUUAACAAGGAAGAGGCAUCAGUAAAUAGUUUAUCGACUUUUUCGGUCGCAGCCUGACAGGCUUUUGUAGAAGCAUCAAUGGCGGUGGUGGCAGAAGCAAGGGAAGCUUGCUGAGCUUUGGAGAAAGCUUCAACAAUUUUCUGAACUGCUGCUUCAGAUAGGGAUGACUGAGAAGUGGAAGAGGAGGCGAUGAGCGAGUCAAUUUUGUCAUGGAGCUCCUGGAGAUGCCUUUUGGUAACAGGAGCGUCGUCAUCGUCAUCACUUUGUACUUGAAACGAGCUAUAGUAGACCGAUUCAAAAGUCAUAUUCUCCCCGCCAAGGAGUGGUUCUUCUUCCUCUGAUGCAUGACCAGGAGAAUAUGGUGGUGGUGAAGCUGGUAGUUCGGUAGUAUGGGUAGGUUCGGGUUGGGUUGUUUGUUCGGGUCUAGGUGUGGGUUCGGGUGCUGGGGUGGUUUCAGGUACGUCAGUAUGAACCCCAGUAUCAGAUACGUUGGUUCGCACUUCAACAAUGGUGGUUGUGGUUGCUUCAGAAAAUAUGGGUGGUAUUGGGAUGGAAGUGGUUGGAAUUUGUGUAGUGGGGGCUAUGGGGGGAAUGGAAGUAGGAAUUGUUUUAGGAGGAGAGGAAAUAGGAGAAGUAGAGACAUGAACUUCAGGGGUUGGGGAUCGUGGUGGAGUGUUACCACGUUGAGAGCCUUUAGAAUCAGAACUCUCACCAUUAGACUCGCUUGAGGAGGAAGCGAUAACUAGCUUUCGCCUUGGUUGAGUUUUUCUCCUCUUCUGCUGUGGAGACUGAGCAGUCCUGAUGGGUUUCCUCUUCUUUGGAGACGGGCCUUUUGCCCCUUUGACCACCUGUUUUCCCUUAUCAGCCUUCUUGCCUCUUGGAGCAGGCUUGUCGGCGUCAUGAAUUGAUUUCAGCAUCUCCGGAGUAAGCUCUCUCGGACCAGAACGCUUGAACCCCUUGUACGUCUUGAUAAUCNCAGGAACAUCCCCAUACAUGGUUUCCGGGAUAGACCCGUUGAAGGGAAACUUGGAAGCAUCCGACACAAUGAUCUUCGUGGUAUGGAAGGUACCGAUCGAAGACAUUGGAGCACCAGCGACAAUGGGGACGUGGUACUUGUCCAUCACCCAUUUUGUGAUAAUGGUCCAAAACCUGGCAUAAGAGAUCUCCGAGUGUUGGGAAGUUGAGGAGAGACUCUGAAUGAGUUGUUGCCACAGAACGGACCCAUAAUCCAUGUUGAUGCCAUUGUAGAUCCCAUACAUGAUGGAGAGAAAUAAACGAAUGGCUCCAUCAGAUCCCGCACUUCGUUUAGAUAAACCCUUGAACAAAACAGUGAACAUCCCAUUCCACUGUGGAAGUAGACAUGACUUUUUGAAUUUUGCCACCGAAGUAAGCACCUCUGUGUAGCCCAUGUUGUAGAACAUGUUGAACAAGUGACCCAUGGGGAUUGAUUCCGGAUUGACCGUGGAAGAAUCUGCGUCAAACCCUAACAGUGUGCAGAACCGCUGCUUUGAAAUCGAUGCCUUAUGCUGAAAAACAUCGAAGAAGAUUCUGUCGACGACCUUGUCGUAGUGAGCGGAGGCAAAGAUCUGUGACAGGAACUCCAUUGGAACAGUCUCAACCCUAGAAAGAGCUGGAGCGAUUGGAGAAUACUUCAGGCACUCCAUGAUGGGGAACAUGAACGCAUCAUACGAAUGUGGGGUUAAAUCGAUGAUCAAGCUUUACUGUGGGCGAAUGGGCAAAAUGUGGGAUGUUGCGUGAACUGAGGAAGAAUCUGCCAUUGCUUUUCAAGAAAGUGGAGAAGAUGAUGAACAGUGAAGGUUUAAGGAAUUCUUGCUCUCUGGAAAUAUAGGCACGGUAAAGUGGUAAAUGGUGGAUUACAUCGCCUUUUAUAGUGAGGGUAAAGGAGAGAGAAAAAUCUUUCCAAAUCUUCGAUCGAAAAACGAAGGGUUUUUCAGAGUUGACUGAUGCAUGACAGUUGGCGCUGGCGAUGAUCACGCAUGAGAGAGAGUGUCAGACCCUAAUUACACGCCUUCCCAUCAGGCGCCGUUUGGAGAUGAAACGAUUCCGAUUCGCACGCUAUCCGUUUUGCGCCGUUUGAAAUCAAAUCGAUUGGACUCUCGCCUGAGUCAUCAUGUCGUCAUCUUAUCCCUUUAAAUUGUAACGGCAUCUUUCAAAAAUUUGUCCACGUGGAUUAAAAUGCACCACAAUCUUUUAUAACAACCAAGCCAAUUAAAACCCCUUGAAAUUAAUGAAACCAGAAUUUUGGAAAAUCAAAAAGAUUUUCGUGCUGAGUGUGUAAAAGAUAAGAAGAAAUAAAGCAACAUUUUUUGUGGGAUUAUGUGAUGUCAAUAAAGACACGAAACAAAGGAUCCCGGGCACGAAUCUCUUCCUUCAAAGUCAAGAGAGACCUUAAAGUGUUUGUGUGGUUUCCCGUUGAAUAACGAUCAGACACUUGUUAAGAAGUGUUGAAAGGCUUCUUUUAAUUAGGCUUAUGAGGGUGGCUUUCGCUUCGAUUCAGAAUUCCUAAUCUUGAAAUAAGACAGAAAUUGAACGAAGUACUUGUGAGACCGGUGUAGUCUGUUGAACAAGUGGGUUUGAGAUAAUUUAAUUUGGCUAGGAAAUAUAUAAAAUCUCAACAAAAAUUAAAACUGGAUUCCAAGAGAAGAAAUGUUAUUGGGUUUAACAAUUUCAUAGGAAUCACACAAAAGAAAAUUUUGAGAUUUCAUGGAGGUACGUCCGUCAAUUCAUUAGUGAAAACUAGAGCAAAUUAAUUGUUCACCGUCAAUUCGUAUUGGGUAUUGAAUUUUGGGUUUCACUUAGCUCGUAGUGGCACGAGACUAAGAUCAUAAACACAUAAAUUUGUGUAACCAUAAACCUCAGUGGUAAUUUCUGAGAGUCUCAAGGGUUAUGUUGGUGAAACGAAUGAGAUGAAGAAAUAUAAUGUUGAUGUUGUAAAGAAACCAAUGUACCUCUGCUGUGAAGAGAAGGACCAAGCAGAAAACUCUUAUCUCAUGUGAGAAGAGAGUUAGGUAGCUCAUGAUUAGAAUAAAUAUGAAAGCCUAAUUGGGAAGACAAGGUUUGUUUAUACCAAGUCAGUAAGGCUAUUAUUCAGAAUCAGGUGAGGCUUUGGACACAUACAUCAGCAUACUUCUAGGGACACUUAGCUAAUUAACCGAUUUCCCCAUAAACGAACACAAAAGAAAAUUAGAGCCAAAAAGAAAAUAAAUAACAAAAUAUUUUUGGAGUUUUUGAAUUUAUGAAGAAGAAAAAAAAUAUUUUUGGAAUUUUUGAUAAUAAAAUAAAAAAAAAAUUAAGACAAAAAAAAUAAAUACAAAAAAAGUUGGAACCGAACCUGAGCGUUCGGUUUAUUUCGGUAGUGAAAAACUUUGGAACCGAACCCGAGCGUUCGGUCUAUUUUGGGUGAGAAAAAUUUUGGAACCGAACCCGAACGUUCGGUCUAUUUCGGGUGAGAAAAAUUUUGGAACCGAACCCGAGCGUUCGGUCUAUUUCGGGUGAGAAAAAUUUUGGAACCGAACCCGAACGUUCGGUUUAUUUCGGUUGCCAAAGAAAAUAGGUUUGAAAAAGAGAAUAACUUUUACAAUAAGAAAAAUGCAUUUGGAAAAAUUAUACAUAAGAUCUACAACCAAGGAAACUACCUUUGAGUGAUGAGCGAAAAACAGAUUAUGCAACCGAACCCGAGCGUUCGGUUAAUUUCGGUACAUUAGCACAAGACCCGAACCCGAACGUUCGGUCUAUUUCGCUUCUUACUUUUGAUCUUGAGAGGUAAUUUUUGGUACUGACUCCGAUUCCAUCAUACCUAGCCCUUGUAGUAUUUUGUUAAAAGAUGCUUCAGGAAGAGCUUUGGUGAAGAUGUCAGCCAGUUGAUCAGUGGUUCGAACAAAGUGAAUUUCGACGUUCCCAUCUUCCACAUGAUCCUUAAUGAAGUGAUACCUCAGUGCUAUGUGCUUAGUCUUGGAGUGUUGCACUGGGUUAUGACAGAUCCUAAUUGCACUUUCAGAGUCGCAAUAUAGUGGGAUCUUUUUCAUAUUGAGUCCAUAGUCCCAGAGUUGGCUUUGGAUCCAAAUCACUUGAGAUGUACAGGAGGCAGCUGCGAUGUAUUCUGCUUCAGCGGUAGACAAAGAUACACAAGUCUGUUUCUUUGAUUGCCAGCUAACCAACUUCCCGUCAAGGAAUUGGCAGCCUCCCGUGGUGCUUUUCCUGUCUAGUCCACAACCUCCAAGGUCUGCGUCGGAGUAGGCUUGAACAAAGAAUCCUGAGUUGGAUGGAUACCACAAGCCUAGAGAGGUAGUUCGCUUGAGAUACCGGAGUAUGUUCUUCACUGCAAGCAUAUGAGGUUCACGAGGAUUCGCCUGAAAUCUAGCACAGUAACAAAUAGAGAACAUUAUAUCAAGCCUGCUAGCAGUAAGAUACAUCAGAGUGCCGAUCAUCUGGCGAUAUAGCGUAAUAUUAGCUGCUGGCUUAUCCAAGGAUGGAGUGAGCUUGGUGCCGAACGCCAUUGGAACUUUAACCUUUGAGUCACCCAUCAUGCCGAAUUUCACAAGGAGAGUCUUGGUGUAGGCUUCCUAGUUAAUAAAGAUGCCUUCGGGUCCCUAUCUAAUAUUUAAACCAAGAAAAAAGUUAAUCGGACCCAUUGAGCUCGUUUCAAAUUUAGUCUCCAUAAGCUUUCUGAAUUCAGCCGUUAAGCUAGGAUUCGUUGAGCCAAAGAUGAUGUCAUCGACGUAGAUUUGAACAAUCAUAAGGUGGUUACCUUCCUUCUUACGAAAGAAGGUCGGGUCAACCGAACCUUGUUUGAAUUUGGACAUCUUUAAAAACUUGGUUAGCGUUUCAUACCAGGCCCUCGGAGCUUGUUUCAGUCCAUAUACCGCUUUGUCCAAAAUAUAACAGUGAUUGGGGUACCUUUCAUUUACGAAUCCAGGAGGUUGCUCCAUGUACACCGUUUCUUCAAGUUCUCCAUUUAGAAAUGCGCACUUGACAUCCAUUUGGUAGACCUCAAAGUUCUUGUGUGCAGCAUAAGCAAGAAAUAUUCUAACAGAUUCCAGCCUAGCUACAGGAGCAAAAGUUUCUUCAUAGUCGAUGCCUUCCUCCUGGUAGUAUCCUUUCACCACUAUACGGGCUUUGUUUCUUAUCACAUUGCCUUCCUUAUCCAUCUUAUUUCUGAAGACCCAUUUGAGACCAACAACCGAGGCAUCCUAAGGAGUUGGAAUGAGGCACCAAAAUUUAUUUCUUUCGAACUCAUUAAGUUCGUCUUGCAUAGCUUGAACCCAAUCGGAGUGAUCAAGAGCAGUAUUAAUUGUCUUUGGUUCAACUUUUGAGACGAAGGAGUUAAACAUACAGAAUUCUACUUUUGAAAAUAAGGAAGUUUGUUUUGCCUUUAGUUGUGAUCGGGUCAGGACCUUUUCAGAGACAUUACCGACAACCUGUGAACAGGAUGAUCUCUGGUCCAUUUGACAAGAGGAGGGUAAUUUGGAUCAUAGGAUGGAUCCAAUUCGACAUUUACCAGCUCUUCUAGUUCAGAUUGACUAUCAUCGUCAUAAGACACAUCGGCAUUCUCCCCCUCGACAGAUAAGCUUUCAGGUAUAUCUUGAGUUUCCGGAGCUGCAAUAGUUUCGGGUGGUGUCGAGCUUUCGGGUGUUGUAGCACCUUCGGGUGUUGUAGUACCUUCGGGUGCAGAUUGGCUUUCGGGUACAUCUGGACUUUUGGGUAUAGCCGGGCUUUCGGGUGUAGCUGGAGAACUGUUCUCCCCCUCAAUAUGUGAGCCUUGCUGUGUUGAAGAAGAUGGAUCCUCCCCCUCAACUAAAGCAUCGUGCUGUGGAGGUUCGUUUGGACUUGAUCCUCCUUCAUUCAUUUGCUUAGUAGCAUCUUCGAUGAGUUGCUUCAGAUGAUCUACUUUUUUGUCUACUGCACUAGCUUCCGAGAGCGUAGCCUUCUCUGGUUCAUCGAAUAACUCAACAAACUUUUCAAAUAUAUUUGCGAUCGAGGCUGUGACUUGGCCUGUUUGAGGAAAAAUUUCUCCAACUGUGUCUUUAGUGGCCUUCAUCUUUUUGACAUAGCUAUCAUCAAAAGUCACAUAAUAAGUUUCUUCUAUUUUCCUCGAAUGCUUGUUUAAUACCCGAUAGGCUUUCGAAGUGAGAGAAUAUCCCAGGAAAAUCCCUUCAUCGGCUUUGACGUCGAACUUGUUACGAUGUUCUUUAGAAUUGAAGAUGAAACACCGUGAGCCGAAUACAUGGAAGAAUUUGACAUUUGGCUGCCUGUUGUUGAUGAUCUCAUAAGGAGUGAGAGUGAAGCGCUUAUUGAGAUAGGACAUGUUCUGCGUAAAACAUGCUGCAGCAAUAGCAUCAGCCCAAAAAUAUAAAGGUAAAUAAGCAAAACUUAGCAUGGUUCGGGACGCCUCACAGAAAGAUCGGUUUCGUCUUUCGACAAUCCCGUUUUGUUGAGGGGUGUAUGGAGGUGAGAAGUUAUGACUGGUUCCUUUUUUGGCCAAGAACUCUUCGAAUUCUUUAUUUUUGAAUUCCAGCCCAUUGUCGCUCCUGAUGUUGAGAACGACUUUCCUCAGCUGCACUUCAACCUGCUUGAUAAACAUCUUUAGCUUGAGAGUUGCUUCAGAUUUGUGCUUCAGAAAGAACACCCAUGUAAAACGUGAAAAGUCAUCAACAAUAACAAGAAUAUACUUGCUACCGCCGAUGCUUUCGAUAGAUGAUGGACCACACAAGUCAAUGUGAAUUAACUCUAGUGGUUCAACAACUUUAGUGUUUACAAUCGAUGGGUGACUUUGACGACUCUGCUUCCCCAUUUCACACGCAGCACACAAAUGUUCUCGAUCGUAAUUGAGCAAUGGAAGACCUCGAACAUGACCUCCGGUGACAAGUUUGUUGAUAUCCUUGAAGUUGAGAUGAGAGAGCCUUCGGUGCCACAGCCAACUUUCGUCAGAUUGUGCUUUGGAUAACAGGUAGAUAGCUAGAUUUCCUUUUAUUGGUUUGAGAUUCAGGGGAAACAUUUCGCCUUUGCGCUCCGAUUUGAGAAUAACUCUUUUUGUUUUCUUCUCUAUUAUUUCCGAACCCUCAUCGUUGAAUGAGACCUUGAGACCGGUACCUCCAACAAGCUGAGAUACACUGAUGAGGUUGUGCUGUAGUCCUUCAACGUAUGCAACCUUUCUAAUCGUGAAGUCUCCAUUUGUAAUCAUUCCAUAGCCUUUUAUUGUGCCGAAUGAGUUGUUCCCGAACUUGACAUUUCCACCGUUUGAAAGAGACCGAAAUUCUCUCAGCUCUUCCUUCCUUCCUGUCAUGUGACAUGAGCAGCCACUGUCAAUAUACCAUUCUUCGUCGAACUGCUCGUCACUGAUAACCUGCAAAAAUCAAGCAGAUUUAGGAACCCAAAGUUUCUUGGGUCCACGUGAGCCUUUCACAGGAACAGGAAUAGUAAGAGUGAUGUCAACAAAAUAUGUUCUUUUUAUUAACGUUGUUUCAUCUUUCUUUUUAAUGGUGAAAACCAUAAUUUUAUUGGGAUUUGUUACUGUCGGUUUGGAUUCAGGUUUAGGUAUUUGGACUUUGGGAUGAUUUGGAUCUGUCUUGACUGAUAAAACCUUCGAUUUUCCUUUCAGAUCUAUUGAAGAUUUUGGAUUUUGAGUAUGAACAGAAUUGAAUUUAGAAUGAGGUUGAGAGGAAUUGGAAGAAUUAGAACGAGAGAAGUUAGACUGAGAAGUUUUAUUAACUUGAGGUCCUGAGUGACACUUUUGUUUUUGGUCAUUUGUGGGACCGAACCUAGAACUUUGGUCGCUUUUGCUCUCGGAACCAAACUUCUGCUUUUGGUAGCUUGUGUUCUCUGAACCGAACCUUUUCCUUCGGUUGUCAUAUUUUUCAGAACCAAACUUGUCCUUUCGGUUGUUAUGAUCCUCAGAACCGAACCUAUCCUUUCGGUUGUCACUACUUUCUUGCGGUCUAACAGCAUUUUUCUCUGACUUCGAAUUUCUGUCAUGAUAAGAGAAAUGGAUGUUUUGAGAUUGACAAAACUGUUUUCGUUCAUAGAGAUUCUUCUUGUAUCUCUGAUUCCUUUGUUGUUUUUGAUUCUUCACUUGCUUCGACUGUCGAUGGAUAUUGGCUUUUUUGCUUUUGCUUUUUGUCAGCCGGUUCACUUUGAACUGAUGAUGUUUCGCUUGAAGGAGUGACUCCUUUUGCAGAAACUCCUUUUUCUUCAGGAACAUCUUUUGUACCACUAGUACUUGGCAUGUCGAAGUUAUCAGGCGUGUUCAAAGGUUCUGGCACAUAUCUGCCUUUGGUUUUCCAGGACGUCCUUUCUGACAGACCAACGGUUUCGUCAGCAUUGUCGAUAGGGGCAGACCAGAAGAACUCAUCACAACCAUCAGCAUUAUCUUCGUUUACAAUGGCUGUGAGUUCGGCUGUUUGAUGUUCGGUUACACCUGUGACCUUAUACACCUGAUUUGGAGUCGUCCUUACCUUUUGGUAUACAACAACCUUUUCUUCAAGGAUCGGGGACUUUUGUUGGGACAGACGAGCAAACUCCACAGAAUUUUCUGAAAUAAGAUUUUUGUGGUUUUCGGGUUCGCUCUUGACAAACUCAGAACAGUCAACUUCAUCCUCUACAGAAAUUUCACUCAUAUCAUCGUCCUCAUUGAGCUCAGAUGCAUUUUCAACAUCAAUUUUAUUUUCUGAGCUCAAGUUGGCAUCCAAUGAGUCUAACUUUUGUAUGGUUUCGGUUCUUAGUUUCAGUUUAUCAUUUUCAUCCAAAAGAUUUUUCAGCAUGUCUUUAUUGUCCUCGGACUUUAUGAAAGAUUCGAUUUUGUCUAGUCCAUACAUAUAAGUCGGAUUUACAUCCUCAGACGAAACUACACUUUUGCAAUUGUAUGCUUCAGCGUCGAUUUCAUCUUCUUUAAACUCAAGGAAGGGAAAAAUCAUGCGAUGAAUUUUCUGCCCUAUUUCACAGUUNACAGUUAAGAUGAAGUUGAGUGAUGUUAGAAUAAAGACGCUUAGCAAUCAAACAAAACACAUUUCUUUGUUUCAAAAGUUUUAAAUUGUCUCUUUGUAAAUAAAUGUUUUCGUCUUUGGAUUUGAUCAACUCCGACUCCUUCAGCUCUAUCCACAUCCUCCGUUCCUCACUCUUUGAAGACACCCUGCUUAUUUGGUCAGUUAGGUUAGAAUUGGUGACCCGUGUUUGAGUUAAACUGCUGUCUAGAUGAGAGAUUCUUGAAUUUACAUUUUUUAAUUCUUUUUCAUAUGAAUUUUGUGGGACUUUGAAUGAAACAAAAAUAGAUUGUACCUUCUUGAUUAAUUCAUCAAGCUCAUUAAACUGCAUGCUGAGAGGUUUUGCUGUGAAGCACAAGUCCUCUCGCUCCUUCGUGUCUUCAUUCCCACCGUGUGUGUUGUAUCCCCUCAUAUGAGAUACAUCCGACACCAUCAAGCACUUUCCACCGCUUCCUUCACCUUUCGCAACAAGCCUUUCCAUGAGAUGGCUUCCUGACUUCAUCAUCCUCAGAGUCGGUUGACCAGACCUCCAUGCCACCGAACUCAUCAUCCGAUACCAAACCCUGCACAAUUAAAGCAUUCAUUGAAGGGUUAGUGACAACUUUCUUUCUCUUGAUCUCUUCCAGCUUUUUCAUCAACACAACUACUUCAUCUUUCUCCUCAUCCUUUUCUGCUAUUUUCUUGAGGACACAGUCUUUGGCAUAGUGGUUCUUUCCUUCACAAUAAUAGCACUUCACACCCAAAUCUCCUUUAGCUUUCGGUUCUUUCUUUGGUUCUUCUGCCUUCGGUUCUUCCCUGACCUUUUCGGAACUAUAACUUCCCUGCCAAUUUCGGUUCUUAUUGGUAGGAAACCUUUUCUUGAUGAACCUCUUUGGGUUUGACACCAUCAUUGCAUAGUCUUCAGAGGUAAGGUCAUAGUCUUCUAAGUUAAGGUCUUCAUCUUCCAUCACACUUUUGCUUUUAGAAAGAAGGGCCAAGGAACCCAAGCUUGAAACCACAUUUUUCUCCUACAAGACAAUCUUUUCUUGGGAUUUCAAAAUCCCUACCAGCUUAGCCAAUGAAUAAGAUUUGAAUUGCUCAUGGGCUUUGACAGUGGACACAACCGCUCUCCACUCAGAUCUGAGACCGUUUAAAAACAUGACUUUUUGUUCAAUCAAGUUCCUUUCAAUAUCGUGUUUAAUCAUCUUACUAAGAAGAUGAUUGAAGCGAUCGAAUGUCUGAGUAACAGUUUCCUCCGGAUUCUGCUUAAAUUCACCAAACUCAGACAAAAGCAAGGUUUGAAUGGAAUGCUCUAGAUCUUCUUCUGUGGAGUAUAGCUCUCGCAGCCUAUCCCAUAUUUCUUUAGCAGUGCUGCAUGAACUCACUAGCCUGAAAGUAUCAGAUUGAAGAGCGAAUCUGAUCAAUCUCAAUGCUUUAAUAUUGCACUGAAACUUAUCCUUUUCGUCUUGGGCAAUAUCUUUUACGUCCUUCAACAGAUCAUUAUACUCUUUCUGAGUUUUAAUGAUUCUUGACGUUGCUGAAUGAGCGAAUGGUCCAGACACGAUUCCUUCCCAAAUAAGAUUUCCAUUGUCUUCAGAUCCAAUGACAUAAUCUUCAAAGUGAUGUGCCCAGACUUCGUAAUCCUGGGUGUAAAGGAUGGGAAUCUUCGUCAUUGAUCCAAUGCUGUUUGAGAUGUUAAUGGGAUUUGAUUGUGACUCGUCCAUGCUUGAUCAUAAAACCUGUUUGAAAGACCAGACUUGUAAUAUAUUAAAUUAGGGCAACACAAAUAAAUGCUGAGUUACGUCAAUUAUGGGAUGACGGCUCAAUAAAUAUUAGUUAAUGCGGAAUAACCCUAAUCGCAACCUUUUUCACAGAAAAGAUGUGUAUGAAUUACACAGCCUCCUGCUCUGAUACCAAUUGUUAAGUUAUAAAACAAACUUGAAGAUCGAUUAGAUCUUUGUAACAGGUAUUGCGAUGAACACAAAAACACUCAAGAACACAAGUGUGGAUCAAAAUAUGUCGAAUGAUUAGAUCAAACAAUCCUCAGCAGAGCUCGACUAAGAACUUCCGCUAUAGAGGAUUUAGGGUUACAAGAACGAUAACAAUAAACUUCUAAAUAAUUCUCUGAUCGAUCUAUUCUUUCGUUAACUUCUAAGAUGCAUGCAAGCACCUAUAUUUAUACUAAACCCUAUUAAACUCACGGAUGGACAGGCCCAUACCGGAGAUAAAAAACGGACUAGCUAACGAGCCCAAUAGACGCCACACUAUAUACAAAACACGACCCAACAACAUACAACAUUGUUUUUCCAAAGCAUAAAGCCUUAACUAGCAUGCAAUGUAACAUUUGAAUCAUAAAAAACAGUUAGAAGAUUAUCUUGUGUAGUAGCUUGCUUGUAUUUGACCUUUAGGAGCCUAGCACCUCAAGUGUGAUUUCUCAAAUGUCUUACAACAAAACAAGAACAAGAUAAUGGACUUGAGAGAGAAGUUCGGGAGCUCAAAAUUGGCUAGCUUCUACUUUACCAUACAACCAUGCAAACCCUAAUUCACCAUGACUCUUCAUAUUACAUAGGCCUUUUGGGCUAAACCUUUCAUGGACUUUCAUGUACGUUUUGUCCAACCCUAGUCAACAUGGAUCAUGGGUCCAACUAUAAGUAUUAUUGAUUUACCUAAUCACUCCCCGUAACUUUAAGUAGUCUCUUUUGAUCACUGAAUUAAUUAUGGAUCAAUACUAAUUAAAUAAUGUGAUUUCUCAAUUAAUAUAUUAUACUUAUAAUAUAUUAAUAAAUCACAAUAACCUCUUCCUCAAAUAUCCAUCCUAUCAAAUUACUCUAGAAUGUUGCAACCCAAAUGGACCAUGCUAUUAUCGGGUCAACCACAUAGCAAUUAUAGUUAUGGGUUUAGACACCUAAUCCAACAGUCUCCCACUUGGAUAAGUCUAAUAACUAUAACUGCCAAUGUAGCUUCAAAAUCCGAGUAGUAAUCGUAGCUCUCUAAAAGCGGUUAUCGAAUCUUGACGUACCAUUUAGAUAAGGGAUCAUAUAAUCAUCUGUUAUUCAAGAUAUCAUGCGGAAAAAUACAUGGAACAUAGUCAUACUUAUUGUCCAGCAGUUUGUUUCCUGAUUUCUGAUUUAUUUCACAUAGAACUUAAUUGAACACAUCAAUUUAGUCCUGACCUGGCCCGACACAUAUUUCAAAACAAAAUCAUUGAGGGGCCCAAGAUAUCGCUUUCAAUCCUCUUAGGAUAAAAGGAACAGAUAAACUUCCACAUAUAUGCUUGUACUAACUACUUGUUAAAUCAUACACAACAACAUGUUUUAUAACAUCAAGUUACUAAUGCGGUUUCACACUAUUAGUGUACAACCAAAUCAUAAUCAACAACUCAUAUAUUUUGGUUUAAAAGUUAUACGAUAUUAUCGUCUCACAAUCACUUGUGAUAAAUUCCAUGAAGUGAUUCAUGUGAGCGCGGGUUUAGUCCAAUACUCAAAUCUUAUUUCAAGAGCACUCAUGAAUGUUGUAGAAAACCUUUCCAAUGUCUAACACAUUAGACAAUCUUACAAAACCCAUUCAUGACAGUCUAUUUUCAUAACCUACUUCCUAAGUAUGAUCGACUGUGGAUAGUUUGAAUAACUUUAUUAUUCUGGAAGUCAAAAAAUGCAAAAGUGAAACAAUAGUAAAUAAUUGACACAAGAUAGUAACUUUACUCAUAAAUAAAACUCAUUUUAUUCAAUCACCAAAUGUCAAUUACAUUUUAGCUAUUACAAGUUUCUAAAUAUUUAUUUAAUCACUAAAACUAAUAUCAUCCUUCAGCCCAAUACUCCUUGCAUGCAGCAAGUGCUUAUCCCUGCUCAGUCCCUUUAUAAGGGGAUCUGUUGGGUUCUUCUCUGACGGUAUCCUCUUUACUACGAGUUGUCUUUCUUCUACUUGAUGUUGUAUAAAGUGAUAUUUUAUGUUGAUAUGCCUGGAUCUACCAUGAUCCCUUGGUUCCUUGGCUAAGGCAACUGCACUUUCAUUGUCACAGAAAAUAUCCAUAGGCUCCUUUACAGCUGGUACAACUCCAAGGUCUCCAAUGAAGUUCUUCAACCAUAUUGCCUGCUUUGUUGCUUCGCUUGCUACUAUGUACUCUGAUUCACACGUUGAAUCAGCCACAGUUUCUUGUUUGGAACUUUUCCAUGUUAUUGUUCCUCCAUUAAGAGUAAAUACCCAGCGCGACUGAGAGCAGAAAUUAUAUUUGUCGGUCUGAAAGAUAUCGUCACUAUACCCUGUCACUCUCAAUUCAUCACUCCUACUGAGGGUAAGGACCCAGUUCUUAGUCCUCCGAAGGUACUUAAGAAUGUUCUUUACAACAGUCCAGUAAGCUCUCCCAAGGUUCCCUUGAUAUCUGCUGACCAUGCUCAAAGCAAAGGUCACAUCGGGACGAGUACAUGUCAUAGCAUACAUGAUCGAGCCAACUACAGAAGCAUAUGGUAUUCCACUUAUUUAUGCUAUUUCAGCCUCUGUACUCGGACUUUGAGUUUUACUCAGUUUGCUAUUGCUCUGGGUAGGUAAGUCUCAUUUCUUGGAAUUCUCCAUGCUGAAACGUUUCAACACCUUAUCCAAGUAGGUACUUUGACUAAGUCCUAUCAGUCUUUUACUCCUGUUUCUCAAUAUCCUUAUCCCUAGAAUGUAAGCAGCUUCUCUGAGGUCCUUCAUAGUGUAACAUUUCCCAAGCCAGGACUUAACCUCCUGCAAGGUUGGAAUGUCGUUUCCUAUGAGCAGUAUGUCAUCCACAAACAACACCAGAAAGCUAAAUACACUCCCACUAGCUUUGACAUAUACACAGGAAUGAUCCUCGCUUCUCGAAAAACCAAACUCUUUGAAUUUCUCAUUGAAACAAAGAUUCCAUCUACGAGAUGCUUGUUUUAAUCCAUAAAUGGAUUUCUCAAGCUUACACACUCCAUUAGGGUACUUUGCAUUGACAAAAUCCUCUAGAUGAUUUAUGCAAACAUCUUCAGCCAACUUCCCAUUAAGGAAAGCGGUUUUGACAUCCAUUUUCCAUAUUUCAUAAUCAUGAAAUGCAGCUAUGGCUAGCAUAACCCUUAUAGAUUUAAUCUUCGCUACUGGUGAGAAGGUCUCAUCAUAGUCAAAUCCAGGAGUUUGAGUAAAGCCCUUCGCAACCAAUCGCGCCUUAUAAGUGUGUACUUUCCCAUCCAUGUCGAUCUUCUUCUUGAAGAUCCAUUAGCACCAGACUGUCUUAUGACCCGAUACAUUAUCAACCAAGUUCCAAACUUGAUUGUCAUACAUGGACUAAAUCUCGUUGUCCAUCGCCUCUUUCCAUUUUGCAGACUCGGGCCUGCCAUAGCUUCCUUGUAGUUGUUAGGUUCAUCCAACUUUAACAGUGUACUAUCACUGAUAAAUGUGUCACCUUCAGUAGAAAUAUGGAAACCAUAAAACUCGGGUGCCUGUCUAACUCUACUGGAACGCCUUAGAGGUAAGGACUCGUCAAUCGAUUCAACGAGAGUUUCAUCCUCAGGUUGAGCACUAGUGUUUGAGGUUCCUUCAUCGCUUAACUCUUGAAGCUCUUCAAGGUCAAUUUGCCUCCCACUAUCCUCUUGGCAUAUGAGUUCUCUCUCGCAAAAGACUCCUCUCCUUGAAACGAAGACAACAUUGUCACUCGGUCUAUAUAAGAGAUAUCCAAAAUAUUUCUGUGGAUAACUGAUGAAAAUACAAUGCUCACUUCGAGGUUCGAGCUUGCGUGAGUCUCUUUUCUCACAAAAGUCUCACAACCCCAAACUUUGAUGUGUGCUAACGAGGGAACCUUCCCUGUCCACAUCUCGUGAGGUAUUUUGGAAACCUUUUUAGUUGGGAAUAGAUUAAGGAUAUUGGCGACAGUCUCUAAGGCAUACCCCCAGAAUGAGAUAGGUAAUGGAGCUCGACUCAUCAUGGAACGAACCAUGUCUAGCAAGGUUCGAUUGCACCUUUCAUCCACACCAUUAAUGUAACGCCCUGAUUCUUAGGUAUUAAUUUAUGGCUUUAAUUUUCAUAAUUGCAAGUUCUACUCGACGAGUUGGAUGCCCUGAUUCGUCGAGUAGCAGCGAGUUGGGCCACGUGUUUAAGUGACCUACUCGCUGAGUCCAAGAUAGGACUCGACGAGUAGGAGUUGGAGGAUGAAACCCUAAUUUUCGGGGUUUUGCACCCUAUUUAAAGGAUCAUUAGCCUCCUUUAGCCCCCUUACAGCCUCUUGAGAGUCCAGCAAACCCUAAUAUGUGUGUAUGCUCCAUUUUUGUUUGUUUUAAGCUUUGGAAGGUGGAUCUUAGUCAGAGGAGCUUGAAGAUCAAGUAGCUAGCAGCAAUGAAUGUGUGUGGAUCUGAAAUCUACCUCAGUUAGCAUCAUUUGAAGGUAUCAAGUUGUUAUCUUGACCUCAUUUCCUUCUAGAUCUCAUUUGGUUAAAGAUUAGGGCUUUUCUAGCAUAUUAGGAAGCUAUUCGUGGGUAUGAGCUAAGGUCUGAAGUUGAACUUCAGAUCUGAACUCUCUUUGGUCUCUAAGUCCAUAAAGCUUCCAGCUUUAGCAAUUAUAAACCUCUCCUUAGCUAUAAAACUCCAUUAUAAGCUUGGAUUUGACAUUCUAAGUCUUUAGAGCCUUGCAUGCACGUAAAGUUUGCAACUUUACGUGAUAAACAUGUCUUGGGAAUCUUGAUCUGCAAUACGGAACCUUAAAAUGGCUUAAAAAGCAUCUAAAUGGAUAAAAGACUGAAGGGACUCGGCGAGUUACAUGGUUAACUCGGCGAGUCCGAUGAAGAUUAUCGUGCAAGGACUUCUGCAUGGACUCGGCGAGUCAGUAGGGUGACUCAGCAGGUCAACUAGGUUUUUCCCGACAUCUGGACACGCAUGAACUCGGCGAGUUGCAAGGAAACUCGACGAGUUAGUGGGGGAUUUCACGACUACUCGAGUUCUGGAAGGACUCGACGAGUCAGUGACUGUACUCGACGAGUCGGGUCAACAUGGACUGUUGGCCUUGACCGUUGACUUUGACUUUGACCAAGGGUUGACUAAUUGACUUUUGGGGCAUUCUGGGAAAAUGGAAAUUUAUGACUUCACUAACGUGUAUAGAUAAAUAUUACCUUUGGGAUGCUGCAUACACCAACACUCGCUGUGGCGGAGUUAGGAUCAAAGUAAAGGGGUAGCAUAGAUUUUUUUUAAGGUAGCCUAAUUUUCUUUUCCAGUGUAUCAUUGCAAAAUAAAUCGGAAUUUUCUAAAUAGACAUUGGGAUUAAUUAGUAAUGUUGAUUAUGAUAUGCAUAUCAACACGUAAUUAGCAUAUGAAACGAUAUAAGAGCAUCAAUACAAUCAUUUUUAUGAAGUUUUAGGUUAGGAUGUUUGAUUGUCUUCUAGUUAAUUCCAUCACUUAUGAUGGAUUGAUAUUAAUUUAAGCGUGUAAUCUAAGGGUGGGAUUGAACCCUAAUUUAUAAGAGGUUAAGAUUGAUAUCAACUCAUAGUUUGGGUAAGGUUAAGAAAACCUUAUCAUUGUUCAUUUAGAAAUUAGAGUCAACAACAACACUUGAAUUUCUAAGAGAGUUUCAUUGCCCUUUCCCACUGAAGUCAAAAAUUCAUAAUAUAACUUAAUAAUGCACUAAAUAGGUUAGUCCAUUUUAUAUAUAAACUCUAACAUUGAGUUCUACAUCUAAUCCUCUACAUCAUCAGUUAAUCCUCUGCAUCAUGAGUCUGAUUCAGUCAAUGAAAAAUAUGAAGCAAUUAUUCUAUGAAUUCUAAUGCAUUUAAAUUUCACUAUGAACUUAAUUAGUUCACAUCAAAAUUCAAAUUUUAGCACUUCAUCUUUGACAGUGAGUAUUGUGGAACGAACAAUAGAUAACUAAAACUACUCAUCUUAUCUAAAAUCAACUUUGCCCCCAAAUAAUCAGUCCAUAUUUAAUUAAUGUGCUUUCUUAUCAAUUUUUAGAUACAAAAAACACCAUGUCUGGGAAUAUCUAUAAUCGAUAGUAAGCAAGAGGGAGUAUCCACAAUCAACCAUCGAAACAACCAUUAACGUCACAAAAUACUAAAAUAACCUAUCAAAAAUCAAAUGAAGACAUGGCAUCAUCAAACACCUAACCUUUGAACCCUAAUGGAGCGGAAGACUCUGAUAAGGCACGACGACUUCUCUUCUGUCUCUUGUACCAAAUAACGAAAAAACCGAACACAAGCACAACCACACCGCCAAUGUCUAUUCUGAUUCCAAGUGCAAGCAAUGCAGUGUUACUACUAGAUCAAUUUUGAGGGGUACCCGGGAUACCCCAGGCUCCAAUGUGGAUCCACCCCUGAACACUCGUGGAUUUAUGACUUCUUACCGCAAUACGAGGUAUUGGUUAUCCGAUUAUCGACGAUGACGUGCAUUAACUAAAGAAGAGAAAUCCAAUCAUGCACAUGCGCAACUCAAAAAUGUUAUUGAACGCGCUACAGUGUUUUGAAGACGAGAUUCCCAAUCCUAAAGCAAAUGACUCAUUUUCCUUUUUCAGUGCAAAGAGACAUAGUCGUUGCUUAUUUUGCAGUCCACAAUAGGAAAUGCAAUAUUCUUGAUGAGUUAUUUAUGACGUUUACGGAGAACAAUGGUCACGCACAAGGGGGAGAGAAUGAUGGCCAAAACGUUCACGAUAUGGAAUGGGGUUCACAAGGCAACAGAUACAUAGAUAAUUUGGGUGACCAGAUUGCGAAUCAAUUGGGGUCAAAUUAAAUUUUUAGGAUUUUAGUAUGAUUUUGUGGAUUUAAAAAUAUUUAUGUUUGAUUUGGAUUUGUGUUUAAUUUUAAUUUAUGCUAAAUUUGGAUUUUAUAUGGUGUUUAUAUUUUUUUAUACUUAUUUAAGAAAUUGAUUAGAUUAUUUUAUAAACAAACACUUGAAUUCAAUAAAAAAUAAAACAAAAGGGUAAAAUAAUCAUUUUAUUAAUUCAACACAACAAUUCAGAAGUCCCUACCAAACAACAUGUUAAACAUUCGGCUCUUAAAAUUUUAGACCUCUUAAAAAUUCAGAUAUUAGAUCUUAAAAAUUCAGAUCCUACCAAACAGACCUUAAAGCCAACUAUGUUAUACGAAUGAAAAUGUUGGCCGAUUAAGAAUGACCAUGAGAGAGGCAAAUGGAAAUUGCGAAAUUAGGAUGGUACAAUGGACAUGCAGUGGAAUAUUGUAAGACAAGAUAUAAAACACACCAUUUUGAUUUUUGGUGAGAGUGACGUCAAUUACCGAAAAAUCAAGAGAAUAAAGAUAGUGAUGAUUUCGAUGUGUCAAAAGGAAGCAACCGAUGGUUAUGCUUAGGAGAAUGGAGACGGUUAGACUCCAUGGUGCGAGGAGGAGAGGAUAGCCUAUAUAAUACAUCCCUUUGCGCCAUUUAGUUUUGUUGUUGAAUCAAAACCCGCAAUUUCAAACCAAAAUCAAAGCAUAGUUAAGUAAGGUGUGCAAGUAUCAAAAGAGUUGCUUAUGAUUCACCAACCUUGACACUAGAUCGGUUAGAGUUUCGAACCCUUUACCAAAUCAGCAAUUCCGUCCUAUUACUUAUCAGAACAUAUAUAAAUAAGUAGACAAAUGAAAGCCCACAUGCACGUAACUGAUUGUCCUGUACAAUCUUUAAAUUAACUACAACAAAAAUAAAACACACAUUUAUUUUGAUGAACAAAUGAGGAAGAAAUCUAAAAGCUAUUUCUUGUAUCAAUUUGAUGAGGGUUAAAAUCGACAUUUUUCAGGAACAUGAAUGUGAGAAAAAGAAAUCAAGUUCAUAUUGGUUGGGCAUCUGUCUAGCUCCAUAUCAAGCACCAUUCAACCAUCGAAAACAUGGUGGUAGUAGAAAGAUUUGAACACAAGGACAUGCCAAUGGACCAACAAUCGUACCGGUUAUACCUCCUCUACCUUCAACAUAUGCAAUAAUGCAAGCAUGACUCAACCAUCAUGGUGGAGGUGGCAAAAAAAGAGAGUUAUGAUUGAUAGCUCCUGCCCUAAACAUGAGGGAAGUUAAUGUUAUAAUUUCUCAUUUGAUGAGUUUGGAAGCUUCAUAAAUGGUUGCUGUCUUCACUGCCACAUUUCCAUUUUCAUGUGUUUGGCUAGUACAUAAAUGCUCAAUUGGUCAGGAACACGUUAGAUUAUCAGGAUUCAGGACUCACAAAUUUCCUGCUUAUAUUGAUGUAUAGCAUUUUUUAUCUAUUAAGAUAAUCGCUGUACUUCUCACUUCAUAAGUACCAAGCACAACUUAACUUCUUUGGCUUACCUCUGAUCUCAUACCAUCUUUGAGCAUUCGCAUAUCAAGUGGUGGCCUUCAACUGAAUUUGAACCCUAAUAGAGAAAUAUGUAAAAUGUGAGAAGGCUAAUUGAAAUAGAAUGUUGUGAAAUUGAAAGUAAGCUUAAAGAUGCACAUAAGAAGUAUCUUACCUCUCCUUUUCUCAAUAAAGGAUAAGAUUCAUUAUUUUGCGAGAGUCCACUUACUACCUUUAGCUCGUGGGUCCAGUAGUAGCUAGUUUCAAAUGUAGUUUAGAGUCGAUUAUUUCAACACAUUUUGCGAUAGUUGGUUUUGAACCUGGAACAAAAGAAGAAAGCAAAUGAGAAGAUUCAUAGGUUGCCAUUUGAACUUCUUAAGAACUUAAGUGCUUCAGUUAUAGUGCAAUGAAUAAAAAUACUUUAGCAAACCACAAAAAAUGAGGAACUAAGGUGUACGUUGUAAAUGUAUAUGCAAUCUGACUGCAACCUUAAUUCAGUAAUGAGAAGAACUAGGUACAUCCCGAUGAGCCAAGGUGGACAUGCUCAGAAAUAAAUUAUUUUUUGUGAUAGGUCAAAUAAAAAUUAAACACUCUACAAGUAUCCUAGUCCAGUUUGAAGCCUGAAAAUCAAAAACUAAAUUUGAACCAGAUUAAUUCCAUAUCUAGUUUCUGGUUUUAGGUCAGUUAAAUGAAUCCAAUUCAUAUCAAUCAAAUCAAUAACUAUUUAUAGUUGGAAUUUCAUAGGACAAAGCACACAAUGAAAUUGGAACUUCAAUGCAGUCCCACUCACCUCCCAUUUGCAUCCAGAAUCAUGUGCAGCUAGCUACAAUCCACUUCAUCCUUACAUCACCGAACAGGUUUUUCUAUCUUGUUGAAACUCUUUUUCUUCUUCUGAAAAUUUGAAUGCUGGACUAAUACCGGUUUCAUAUAUUUUUUUUAUAGGUUCAAAUGUAUCGUUCACAUUUAUAAUAUAUACGUCCUCAAUCAUCCAUGUUCUGUGAAAAAUUUCCGCCGGUUGAACAUCCCCAAUAACGGUUACACUCCCUUCUUCUAAAUCAAAAAGAAUCGAUUGGAUACCCUGAAGUGCAGAUAACGCCUUCAGCACCAUCUCUCCUUGACUUCGACUGCCUGAUUUAAAUUCCAGCACAAUUUUCUGAAUUUUUCGCUAUAAUUACCAAAGAAAAAUAUAUAAGACCAGGUAAUAAUACUGAAAAAACGUAAAAAAAAAAAGGGAGGGCGGGAUGAUUAAAACGAAUUAUGAUUACAUGUUUAUGUUCUUUUGCGGAUUUGUAUGAAGGUGCAACGCCUGUUUCCCGCUCUUCCUUGAUUUUUUUUUCAGGUUCAACACUUAUGCUAUAUACGCCCUCAAUCUUGCUCACAUGUUGAAUAACAUCCAUGGAAUCAACAUCCCCGAUAACAGUUAGGUUUCCAUCUUCUAUAACGACAUCAAUCAACUGGAUACCCAACCCUGAUAACGCCUUCAUCACCUCCGCUCUUUUACUUGGACUGCCUGAUUUGAAUCCCAGCACAAUUUUCUGAAACAUACACGAUAAUUACCAAUAUAUAUAUAUAUAUAUAUAUAUANNNNNNNNNNNNNNNNNNNNNNNNNNNNNNNNNNNNNNNNNNNNNNNNNNNNNNNNNNNNNNNNNNNNNNNNNNNNNNNNNNNNNNNNNNNNNNNNNNNNNNNNNNNNNNNNNNNNNNCUAACUUUUUUAGGAUCAAUAGGAUCACUUUUUCAACCUUCAUUUUAGAACUUAUCUUAUAUCGACAAAAUAAAUAAAAAUAUGUAAAUUCAUCAUUUUUCAACCUCUUUCCAUAUUGAUAUUAGAAGAGAAAUAUAAUAAUAAAAAAAAUUUCUAUGAAAAAUGUGUACAAUAUGCACAUUUUUGUAAAAAAAAAUGCAUUUUUUUGAAUUUUUUUUUAAUGAUUCAACUUUUAUAUCAACAUCCUAGUCAAAUAAAUAUUUUUAGAAAAAAAAAAAACGUAUCUAGAAAAAGUUUAAAAAAUGUGCAUAUAUGCAAAAACUCAAAUGUGCAUGAUUUUUCAAACUUGGUUUUAGAGCUUAUCUUACAUCGAAAAAAAUAACUAAAAAUAUGUAAAUUCAUCAUUUAUUAACCUCUUUCCAUAAUAGUAUUCGGAAAUUGUUUUUUAUUUUACGUAAAAUGUGCACCAUAUCCACAUAUACAUAAAAUGAAAAUAUACAUAUAUGCACAUCUGCAUAUAUACACAUUAAUAUACAGAUGAAAAACAUCUUGAUAAGUUAGGACCCUGCUAUAAAAGGUGAAUUUUUGAAAAAAGAAAUGUUUUUCUACUUAUGUGCAUAAUUGCAUAUAGUGCACAUUUUACGUUAUAUGCAAAAGAAAAAAAAAAUCGAAUAUAACUAUGGGUAAAGGUUAAAAAAUGAUAAAUUUAUAUAUUUUUAGUUAUGUUUUUCGAUAGAAAUAAGCUCUAAAAAACGUUUUUCCAAAUAAUGUGCAUGUGAUGCAUAUGUUACACAUUUUUUUUUCGAAUACCAAUAUGGAAAGAGGUUGAAAAAUCAUGAAUUUAUAUAUUUUUAUUUAUUUCUUUCGAUAUAAGAUAAGCUAUAAAAUUAGGGUUGAAAAAGUGAUCUUAUNGAUGUAUAUAUAAGACCAUCAUAUUUUAUAAGACAUGGGACGCAAUCCUAGCCACUCAUUUUGGAGAUAAAAAAAAUUUAAAUGCAAAAUAAAUGAAAAUAUGAAAAAAAAUUAAAUAUUAUUUAUCAUUUAGAUUAUACAACAAAAUAAAAAAUAAAUACAUGAAAUAUUAUUUUUAUAUAUACAUGAAAUAUUGUAAUAAAAUAUUAGACUAUAGAUAUUCAAACAAUUCCAACAGUAUAUUGGAAUAUUCUAACAAUUAUAGUAGAAUAUUAGAAUAUUGUAACAUAUCUGAUAAUUCUAAUAGAAUAUUAGAAUAUUUUAACAUAAUUAACAAUUCUAGUAGAAUAUUAGAAUAUUGUAACAUAUCUAGGAAUUCUAUUUGAAUAUUUACAAUGUAAUUUUCUAUUAAAAUAUUUCACGUAGUUUUCAAAGACGGAUUACUUGAGAUUCUAAAAAAAUAGAGAUCUUAAGAUUCAACCUCAACCACAUAUUUCUCAUUUGCCGCUCUAACGCUCCAACGCAGCAAGCAUUGGGGUAUGUCUGAUCAUAAAUGAUUAUAUGGCGAAGAGAUAUAAUCAUAUAUGAUUAUACAUGUGUAUACAUAUAUGUCUGAUCAUAAAUGAUUAUACAUAUGUCUAAUCAUAAAUGAUUAUACAUAUGUCUGAAAGCAAUUAAUCAUAUAUGAUUAUGGUGGUUGGUGAGGGAGGAGGUGGUGGUGGUGGUAGAGGUAUCGUUGACGGAGGUGGCAAUAAUGUGGUCAGUUGGUGGCGGGGUGGUGGUGGUGGUGGUGAUGGCAGUGGUGGUUAUGGUGGUGGUGAAAGCGGUGGAGGUAAAAGGAACAGGCGGCGCGGCAUAAUCAUUUAUGAUUAUAAACUCUCUCGUUGUGCUGGUACGCCAGAGGGUUAGAGCAGCAAAUGAGAAAUACAUGCUGUAACUUUGGUCCAGCUUCUUUAGGAGUGUACAGGAAAUGUUUGCUUUCCUUCCUUUUACCUAAUAAGCUUAAUGUUGAAUUACCUUCAUCUGGCCACUAACUGAUUUCAGUUUGUCCCCAUGUAGGCUUGAAGUAGAGUACUCCUGAAUUUCAUCAGAAAGUUCUUCAGACAUGUUUUUCGUAAGGUGUAGCUGGUCAAUCUCAUUUGGUUCCUGAAUAAAUCACAAGAGGAAAAAUAGAUAACUUAUGUUCACAACAUGUGGUGUUGAGAACAAUCAAGUUAAGGGGAAAACAAGUUAUAAAGUAAAAGUUUGCUAAUAUUGUCAUUUUCUCUAAAAAAACAAAUGAAUCUGGCGUGCCAUGUAACAAAUGAAAAAAAAUAUAUUAAUCCAAUGCACCUUUCUUUUCAGAAGAUUUGUAGUUCAAGAGGAAAAUUAAUUGCAGAGUGAAAGUUGAUCGGUUUUUUAUGUGAACUUUACUGUAGAAAGAUAUUACUGAUUGCUUUGUUUUUCUGUCUGAUGUUGAUGUAUGAAAGUAUGAGUAUGUAAUUUUAGAACAUUAGCUCAUAAAAUUGAUGGACACUACAUGUUAAAGUCUAUGUAGAAAAGAGUAUAGUUAAAUUCAAUUACAUGUCCUCUGAAGACCAAAAGAAGUUUAAGACAUACGAAAGAUUCAAAGUGAAGUUCCAUGGUUUUUGGGCAAUCAUUUCAGAAUGAGAAUGAAAGAGUUGAAGCUUUUUUAUGUCGUGUCGAUGACUUGCGGAAAAAGUUCUAAUUAUAUGUGACGAAAUAUUUAAGCUCCUUACAUUUAUUUCAGAUAUCUCUUUCAUAUAUAUCGAUGCAUCUUCAGAGAUGUCCUCAGCCUGUUGGUCGUAGAUUUGUACGUUGAUGGAAGUGGGUUAAUAAUUUCCAAACACAAAAACGUUAAAACUCUUUUCUUUUAUCCACUAAAAGUAAUAUUCAUUUACCUUUCUUACUAUAGCUCCAAAUUUAGAUGUGGUGGUAGAUUGCAUGGACUCCCCAAGGAUGCUUGACGGAAACUCCAAAGUUUUAUCUAAAAAAGAUGAUUUUGACAUCUGUGGGAUCUUGUAAACUUCCUCCUAUUCAUGUUUUUCAAACACCAGAACCAAGAUUAGAUAAACGCAAUUAUUACACUAAUUAUAUCCAAAUUAGCAUUAAGUACCAAUAGUUUAAAUUAUAUUAUAACAGUGUGGUUGGUAUUUCCACGUAUGUGAAUUCCUGUAAUACUUGAAAAAAAAAGACAUUUCUAUCAAUUUUACAAGUGUCAUAUGAGUAGUAUGCAAUGGCAAUGGAUGAUUUGAGAAGCAUAACAGUUGUACGUUAUACAAAUGUUAUGGCAACUUCCCUUAGUUUGGAACAAUGUAGAGUAGUAAGAAUUGUUAUGAUAAAACUAAAUGACAGAGGUCCUUUUCAUCUUCAUGCAUGCAACUAGCUUAGUGGAGUUGUUGCUUUUGAUGCUUUGUUUAUUUUAGCCUCUUUCUUGUGUCUAGUGUUGUUGUUUUGUCUUUAGUAGAUAGUGGUAGACAUAGGUUAGUGGUCUACUUGUCUCUUUGUUUGUUCUUGUAAAGUCUGAUUUCUUUCCUUUCUUGUAAGCCUUGAUAAGGCCUCUUGUUCUUUGUUAUACAUUGUGAGAAUAUACAGCAGUUGUGUGUCAAUUCUAUACUCUCUCCAAAUACCUGUAUAGCAUCCUAGUUGUGUACUAGAAGUUGUUUGAUAUACAGGUUAACAGAUGCCUCACCCCAGUACUGUUCUAGGACUUGAGAUACGAUGAGCAAUGUAUGAACAAUGUCUAUGUUUGCGUUAACCUCGACCAUAUUGUUGUGAUUUGGCAGGACACGAUUAUUAAGGCUCGGUUCAUGUUCAUACAAGAAGGAGAGGAGCUAAGAAUCUUUGUAUUCCGUGGCAUUUUCAUCACAUACUAUUUUGAUGGAUUAGAAAAUUGAGUUUCAAGCAUGCAUAUGAAAGUGAUGGAAAGGUGAACCCAAGUAAAACAAGUGCAAUUAUCAACAAAGAUAGCAAAGUACCUAGCACCUCCAUAGUGGGAUGAGUUGCAGGUCCAAAAACCUAACUAAACUAAGUCAAAAGCUGCUAAAGGAGUGAAAUCAUUUGCAGUAGACAGAAAAUAAUGGUGUUUUCCAAGUAGACACAACAAAAAAGAAAUUGUUUUGGUGUUAAAGUAGUUUUAGGUCAAGACACAAAUAUAUGAUCUAGGUCAGCAUGCUACAUACAAAACGAAGAUAAACUCGAUAUAGAAGCUAUAUAAAUUGUGAAAAUGAACUUGGAAGACAAAGGUUGACCACUCCAAACAACCUUGCAAGUUGCAACUCUAUGACCUAUUCUAAGAGUCUCCUUGGUCUUUGGAUCCUACACAAGACAACUAGGAUUGGUGAAAAGAACAAUUAGACUAGAGUCACAUAAUUGGCAACUGAUACAACAAGAGAUAAGUUUGGAACAUGAACAAAAUUUGGUAAUGACAAGUGACAAGUGGAGACAUGUCCACCAGUUUGACUGCCAUCAACUAUGUAGACAGAGACGGAUUAUCGUGACUAUUUAGUUAUGAACAAGUCUCCAUGUGCUGUCAUAGGACAAAAAUUCACAAGUACUUAUAAAACCUCGCAUAAAUUUUUGGAUCGACUCUUGAUUUUAUUUUAUUUUAUUAAUUUUAUAGUAAUUCUCUGUAAAAUUCGAGGUGUUUUUUUGCAUUGAAGGAUAUGGGGGGUGUGUUUGGACUGUUGUGGUGCUCAUGAUGCAAAAUCACAAAGCAAUUUAUGGGAUGAGAAUAAGUUGAACGUAUUGAGUGUAGAGGUCUAACUGUAGGGCAGAGUGGGAAUGUUAAAUGACCAUAGGGAUCAGGUGCCAGAACCAUAGGGGGCGGGUGUCCUCUGCUGGUCCGAUGCAAAAAGACUACUGCAAAUCGAUGUGAAAGGAUUGAAGCUUCACCUAUGAUUUCUGAUGUAUUGUACACAUGGGUUGAGGCGAUAUUGUGAUUACUUGGACAAUGCUUUGAGAAAUUUAUUGAUUACGGUUGAUGAAAGCCAAAUCGAAAAAUUUUAAUUUGUUCCCAUUAUGAAAGAUUUGGAUUCGUAGGAUAAUCAAAUGGUGACACGAAUCCAAGAACAAUUCACAGCAUGAAACAUACGCUAGCAUUCAUGUAGCAACUUCAUGCCCGAAAAGAAAUAUCACAGAGAAAAUUUACCAGUUCAGGACCAUGGAUGAUGCAUCUAACAGUUUUCAACUCUGUAAAUGAUGGAUUCAUCUGCUUUGGUCGACCUGUCUUUCUCCAUCCUCGUACCUCUGUAACAAUGUGUGAUUAGAUGAAUUGUCUCUAUUUUCAGCAUAAAUCUAGCUACAAAUGCCCAUAAUUAGCUUCACAAGAGUGACAUACCUGUAGAGUCGAUGGUAUCACCAACUAAAAUGCUAAACCAAUGAGGAGUUAGCCUGCCAAUCUCCAUUAACUCAAAGAAAUCACGACGACAAAGAUAGUAUGCUCCUGUGCGUAGUUGAAAUCUAGACAAAUCUCCUCCAAGAACUUCUACCCAUCCCAUGUUAUUUUCCAAGGUUUCCUCAGCUACUUUCUCAUCAACAUAAACAAGGCUCACCCCACAUUCCUCUACCUCCAAUCCACUCAUCACAGAGAUAGAGACACUUACUUUAUCUCCAGUAUUCAAUGUGUUUCCAAUUGGCCAGUAGCUUAACCAUAUACCAACAUUGCCAGAUCCAGGUUUUCCAAAGACUUUUGGGUUGUACAUCAAAUCAACACCAUUGCUCGUACUGAUUUUAACGAACCAUGCCAAAUCAUCGUCACCUGAUAUUUUAUAUCUCAAAGUUACAUCAAGUCCUUUGAGCUUCCUAUUCCUUGGACACAAAGGCACAUCAAAGGACAAAGCCGAUGAUGCUGAUACAUACUCAGGCUUCAGGUUUGGAUUCUUUAUGUCUGGCAGAGAUGUGCUCAUUAUAUCGAAUUCAUACAACAUCUGUGCCAAAAACACUAGAAUUCAGUCACAUAUAGUCGGUUUUUAGGUGUCAUAUCAAUGUGAUUGUAUGUGCUUCUGCAUGUGUUUGAGAAUUGAGAGAGAAACAACGUACCUCAACACACGGAGUUCUGCCUUUGGUGAGCUCAUCAUCACCAACCAGGCACACCUCCUGAUUUUGAUAUUCUUUUAGCCACUUCAUGUGUCCCAGAUCAUUUUCUUCAAGUUUGGUUACAGGCACCAAUUUAAUAAAGCCUUCAAUUUCACACAAACUAAUGCAUCCUUCAUAGCCAAACUCUUGCAAUGUGAAUCGGUGUUCUUGGAAAGUUAUUUUCUCCAAUGACAAACAGUAGUAUACAUACAAUUCUGCAAGCGUACUUGGGAGACAUACUAGCCAUUUAAGUCUUGAGCAUAAGCUCAAGUCAAGGACCCGAAGAUAUUUAAGAUGAUCAUAACAGGGCAGACACUCAAAUAGACUAUUGCCUAAAUUCAAGUACUGCAAAGAUAGUUGAACAUUAAAACUCAGAGUGAAAGAAUCGGUACACUCGAGAUUGCAGUCCUUGAGGAAUAAUCGGUGUAAUGAAUGUGGGAGGGAGAACGUAUGCUGUUCAGUAACUCCUAAUAACAACUUUCUACACCCUGUCAUGUUUAGUAGUGCAAGACUCGUCAGGUUUCCAAUGGUUUCACAAACACGAACAAGAUUGUGACAGUUCCAAAGAAUCAAAGUCUCAAGAUGAGGAAUCAUUGACAUGUUGCGGAUUUCAAAUAGAUCAUACGAGUCCUUAAGAUUUAGAAUUUGCAGUGACUGAAGAACCUGUUGCAAAAGUGACAUGAUUUAUGUAUCGUUCAAUGUCAAUUUAAAGAUCAUUAACUAUUGAGAAUCUAUAUGGAAAAGCGACAUAAAUAGGAUACCGAAUUCCCUACCAUGGGCGGAUCAAGUACUUCCAAUUUGCUGUAGCUCAUAUCAAUAGCCACCAAGUUUCCCAUGAAUAAGUCAGGGGGUAUGGUUGUUAAAGGGAAUCCAAGCCAGCAGAGCCAUCGUAAAUCUUCUGAAAAAUUCUCGUAAGACCCGUUGAGAUACACAAAAUUCAAGUGGAGCAAUUUUAGUUUAUCCAUCUUCUUAAGUGCAUCUGUCUUGAGGUCUAGCGACUGGAAAGUUAGCAUAAAGAAGGAUGGUAAGAUGACAUCAUAUCCAUAAAUGAAUUUACCAAAGAUUCUCUAAGUAACAAGAUUCCAUGCCUUGAGUACCAAUUGACGAUUUCCAUGUCCUAGAUGGUUGUGUAGUGAUUGGGGUAUAACGAGGGGCGGAUAGGUAUUUUUCCAAGUGGGGCAAAAAUAUGUCUAGUAGUAGGGGACCCCAAUUUACCAAAAAAACCAUUCACAAAAUAUUUAUAUAUGUUACUUGAACUAUUUAUUUAUAUUGUUAUCGAUAAAUUCAUAUGUUUUUACUUUUUCUUCUUUUUUUGGGGAAAUUACAAAAUAUCUUAAAAAUCUUUUCUUUUCUUGGGGGUGGGGGAGCACACUUACCGCGGUGAGACCCGGUUAUUAUAAAAUUAUUGAACUUGAAUAUUGGAAGACAAAUACACUGUAACAACCCAAUUUUAGGGUGGAAAUAGACUUAUCAGGGUAAUUACCUUUUGUUUUGUUCACAUUUGCGUAAUUUCUUAUUUUUUGUACAUAUAUAAGUAACGAACUUUUUGGAAGUGUUCAUGUAUAACCAUUAUGACCGGCUGUAGCAAGUUACAUCCAGUCAUAAUGGUCAUAUGUGAACACUUCCAGUAAGUUCGUUAUAUAAAUGUAUACCAAAAAAAAGUUACCUAAAUGUGAACAAAACAAAAAUAUAAUAACCCUGAUAAGUAAAUUUCUCUUUUUUUUUUAUUAUUUUACCUUCUAAUUUUGAUUUGGUAUAAAAUUUGAACUAAAUGGUAAAUAUUUUUAAAACCAUACCAUUUUGGUAAUAUCUUUUUAAAAUACAUUACUUGGUUUAAAAUUUACUAUGUACACAUGUAAAAAUUGAGAACACAUGCUGACAUACCAACUCGACAAUAAAUAUUUUAUUUUAAAAUAAGAAAAUAAAGAUUUAGGGAUAAUUUUAUUUUAAAAUAAGAAAAUAAAUAGGUAAGAUAAAUAUAAAUUGAUAAAAAUAAUAAAUAAUGUUAUAUUAUUUGUUAAUAAUGACAAUUGAAGUAAUAAUAUUUGAUUAUUAGAGAAAUUGAGAAAAGUGGUUAAAUGUGUCUAACUUGAUGAAAGAUGAGUUUGACUAAUUGAGUUCACAUUAGAUGAUAAGAACUUAAAUGUCACAAAAUAUGAUGGAGAACGACUAUAAGUGAAACAUAUGUGAUUUCCGAGAUUUUUCUUAAUAUCUAAAACUCUAAAAAAAUUUGUGCCAAACACGCUCUUAAUGUGUUACGACAAGUCUGUCCUUUAGACCAAAAAGACAAAAAAUUACUUUCUUAACAUAAACAAAUUUCCUCAUCUUUUUCAUCUUCCUCUUUUACUUCUACUUUUAAAUAUAUACGUGAAACAAUAUAAAAUCUAAAAAGAUGAUUAAUUUUUAAAAAUAAUCAAACCUAAACCAAAAUUUAAAUCAAAUCCUAAAAGUCAAUUUUAGUUAGUCAAUAUUACCUUGAAUGCAACCUUAUCUUCCUUUAGUAAUUGCAUGUCAAGUGCUAAACCUUCCAUUGUUUCUGAACCCUAAAAGAAAAAGAAAAAAUAAAGAUAAAGAUAAACCAUAUAAUUCAAAUGAAAUAGAAUGGUGUGAAAGAAAAAGUAGGAUUACACAUACAUAUAAGAAGCUUCUUACCUCUCCCUUGCGCAAUAUCUUAUAAGAAUCACUACUAAGCCAAACUCUACUACGUCUUGCAGGGAAUUUUGAUGACUCUAGACGAACCAAAUUUUUUCCCAUCUCUUGAAUCAAUCGAUGCAUCAUCAGCUUAUUAUUUGGGGAAACAGAAAGAAGGCAUUUGUUGGAUAGGGUUUUGAUCCCAGAUAAUGCACAGUAAUCUGGCUCCAAUAUCUUUACCACAUAAUCCUUGUCUUUUCCAAUAAAGAAACAAGCAAUAUGCAAAAAUAAUUCUUUCUCUAAGAUAGAUGGUAAUGACUCAUAGCUCGUUAUUAGUACACUUUGGAUUCGAGAAUCAAAAUCUUUAUCCAAUACAUUCAAUCGACUUUUCCAGUAUAAAAUGGUAUUUUCAUUGGAUAGAGAAGAAGCCAACACUUCAACAGCGAGAGGAUUUCCUUCACAAUAUCGUAUUGCUUGCAUUGCAAGCUCUUCGAAACCUUCCAUGGGAGCUUUGGAACCAAAUGCAUGACGACUUAAAAGCUCUAACGAUUCAUCCUCAUUUAAUAAUUUUAUUUUAUACUCUUGACACCUAGAAUAUGUGGACUUGAACCAAUUAUCUGUAUUUUCCCUAAUUGUUGUGAUUAUAAUCUUGCUUUGUGCAUUGAUCGUUCCAGUUCCAAGUAAAGCGACUAACUGACUUUUUUCUGCAAUGUCAUCAAGAACAAUAAGCGUCCUUUUAGUUUGUAAGGCUUCCUCAAUCUUACAUGUACCCUGAGAAACACCAGGUAUUUUUCUCUUCUUUCCACCUAAAAUAUCAUUGAGAAGUUGUUCUUGUAGCUCAAGCAAAUCAUGGGAUUCUUUACAUCUGCGACCAAUGUUUUCAACAAAACUCGUGUUUUCAAAAUAUCUCCAAUUUGAAUCGUAAAUAUACUUGGCCAGAGUUGUCUUGCCACUUCCACCCAUGCCACAAAUUGCUAAAAAUUCGAUAUUUGAUUGAUUUAACCAGGAAUUGAUCUCCUCGUAUCGAGUGGCCAUCCCUGUUAGAUUGGGUGGAAGAUGAACUUCUUUGCGAUCCAGUUUGUUGUAAAUGGUGUCAACAAUUUCCUUCAAAAAAUUUGUUUCAGGCCUGGAACAACAAAAACAUGAACAAGUUCAUGAGAUGAAAUUUAGAAAUUCUUAUAUAAAAGUAUAAAACUGAAUGAUAAUAUUCAGUAAUUAAAUGUAAUGUACUAUUAGUAGAUAUUUAAAAUUAAUUUCCAUUAAAGUUUCCAAUUCCACGAAAUAUCAAAAUUCAAUCAAAACCUGAUCAAAGUAUUUAGAUUGGUAUAAUAGAAGAUUCUUCUAAUUUAAUUACAAAUGCAUUUGAAAUAGAAAAUCAAAUCAAAAUAAAACAUAUAUUGAUAGAUUAAACAGAUUUAUGUAAAUAAAAGCACUUAUAGUCAUGUCAUAAGGAUAAUUUAAGUGCAUAAAUUAGAAAUUAACAUAGAGAGAGAAUUAGGGGCAAGGUUAUCCAGAAAGAACAAAAAGAAACUCGCGUAGCUCUUGUCAAGAGUCAAACUUGUAUAUGAUAUAUCAAAAAGCAUACAGCUCAUACCGAUUUUUAUACUUUUUCCUAUAACUUAUUUGAAAUAAGAAUAGAAGAAAGUUAGCCAUCCCACAUUCAUUCUAUGGUAAUGAUCAUAUCGAUUCCAUCAUUUUCAUUCAUUUUUAAGGAAAUUACUUUUCACCUUUCCAAACUUCUCUAUCAAACAAAUAUCUCAUACCGAUUUAAAGGUUUAAUCUAUUGACCCAUACAUCAACAAAAACUUGACCGAAUCUUAACUUCAAAAGUGGAGAACCAAAUUUGGCUAGAAAUUAGCAAUAAUAAUCAUCAAAUUAUUGGAUCAAAUAGCAUCAAUUAAAUUUUAUUUCAAUAAUAAUUAUAUUACAAAAAAANAAAAAAAAAAAAAAAAAAAAAAAAAAAAAAAAAAAAGACAGUGAGGCAUACCCCGACAGAACCAUGCCCGCCAAAUUAGCAACCUCCUUAAGAGCUUUCUUCCACAUGUUCACGUUGUGAUCUGUCCACCUUGAAGAGCCUUUCACUUCAAUUGUGAAAGAUUUAUUUUGUUUCCUCACAUCAGAAGGAUCAACAUGAUAAAAAACAGGUAAAACGAAAUGAUUCACCUCCUUCCUUUGUUCAAGGAUCAGUACAAGCUCGUCAAGGCACCAGGUGGAAGUUGCAUAGUUUUCUGACAAUACGACAAUUGAAGCCUUAGAUUGUUUAAUUGCUGUCUCGAUCUCCGGCUUCACUUCUUCACCUCUCCUGAUUUCUUCGUUAUCCCUAAAAGUACCAAUUCCUGCUCCCAUUAAUGUUUUGUAAAGAUGAUCGGUAAAAGAAUGACGAGUAUCUUCGCCCCUAAAGCUUAGGAAAACGUCAUAGCUGCUAGCGUUAGCACUAGAAGAAGAACUGGAAGCCAUUGAAACUGGAUCGACAAGGAUGCAAGAUGAAGUCAACGGCAAAUUUUCAACUACCCAAAAUUAUACCCAAGCUUAUCUAAGGCAGGCCGAUUACGGCUUUUUAAAACCUAAUUGUCAAAUAAGACUAUUCCGAUUUUUGAAUUGUUUUUAGGAAAGCUCAAUUAUUACUUUGAAUAAUCCAAAAAUAUCAAAAAAAUAAUUUUGUAUUUAUGUAUGUGUUUUUAUUUUUAAUAUUUAUUUAUUUUAUUAUCAGAAUACUAGUUUAUAACAUAUGGUAAUUAUGGUUAUAUAAUUAAUUAAAUAUUUAUUAUAAAAAUUCAAAAUUACUAAUCAAAUAUUUUAAAUAAAUUACUAUUAAGUAAAAGAUAUUUUUAGUUAUAUAAAAUUGUAAUCGUUGAUUUAAAUAAAUCCAUGAACUUAUAAUCUAUGUUACUUUUAUUUUAAUUUUUAUUCUGAUGUUAAUAAAUUGUAUCUAAUAAGAGUUGAAAAUUUAAAAUUUGAAAUUCAAAAUGAAAAAUCAGUAGGUCGACAAGUGACAUGAUAUUAAUUAGGAGACCCAAUAGAUCACACAUGACAAAUAAUAAGAAUAAACCUAUUUUUAUUAGAAUUGCCGAGUCAACCUUGCGACUCGCCGAGUUGUUCAUCCAACUUGUCGGUUCCAGGCUCAUCUUCAUGUGACUCGCCGAGUCAACCUUGCGACUCGCCGAGUGCCUUCAGUCCUUAAGCCAUACAAACUCUUUUAAGCCAUGCAGUGGCUCUAAAUUACAGAUCUAAGCUUCUAAGGCAUAUUUUUCAUGUAAAGUUGCAAACUUUAAGUGCAUACAUAGCUAAAAAUGCUCUUAAUGACAAAUCCAAGCUCACAAUGGGGUUUCAUACUCGAAGAGGCUUCAUACAUGACCAAACUCAGAGAUUUAUGACUCUAGAACCCAAGAAGGGUCCAAAUCUGAAGUUACAACUUCAGAUCUAGCCUAUAUCCCACAUUAUCAUCUCAACCAACCCAUAAAAACCCUAAAUCUCAACCAAAAGUGGUCUAGAAGGAAAAUGAAGUAAAGGUGACGACUUGAUACCUCCAAAUGAUGCAGGCUGAGGUAGAUUUUUGAUUCCUAUGCCUUCCUUGCUACUAGUCUCUUGCCCUCCAAGCUCUUCCUUUCCAAGAGCCUCCUUUCUAAAGCUUAAUACACACAAGAAUGAAACACCACACGAAUUAGGGUUUUCUGAGCUCUCAAAGGACUGCAAAGAGGCCAAAGGGGGCUUAUGCUUCUUUAAAUAAGGUGCAGAACCCCGAAAUUUUAGGGUUUCAUCUGUCAGCCCCUACUCAUCGAGUUCCUUCAUGGUCUCGGUGAGUAGGCCACUAAACACGCGAUCCAUCUCGUUGCUACUCAACGAGUAGGGCAACCAACUCGUCGAGUAGGUCUUAAACCAAAUAAAUUUUCAUUUACAUCGAUACCUGAGAAUCGAGGCGUUACAUAUAUUCUCAAUGUCUUUAAAUUUAUGGGCAAUUACUAAUCUAGCCAAAUUAAGGAAGUCAUUAGCAAUUUAUAGCCAAAAAUUGGUAAAUGUCCAAAUACAGCCCACGAAACCGUAGGUUUCGAUAUUCGUCUACUGUUUCGCCAAAUCGUCUACUGUUUCGUGUUUUGUAUAAUUUUUUUUCAUUUUUAGGAUACAAACCCGUAGGUUUUUUAGAACCUACGGUUUCCUCUCGAAACAUACGGAUUUAGGUGAAAAAAUAUGGUUUUUUUUUUUUUUAAAUCUACUGUUUUUGGGGGGGUUUAACUACAAAAAAAGGGGAAACCAUAUGUUUUAAAAAGCCUACGGUUUUGUAUCCUAAAAAUGAAAAAAAAAUAUACAAAGCACGAAACAGUAGACGAUUUGGCGAAACAGUAGUCAACCUACAGUUGACUACUCUUUUGUGGGCUAUUUUUGGCUAAGUGGUUUUUUUGGCUAUUUUUUGAUAAAUAAUUAAGGAUUUUGACUAGAUUUGUAUUUUUCCCAAAAAUUUAGGAUUAAUGACUUAGGAGGGUAAUUAGGUUUCCAGUUUGUCCGUAUUAGGUCAUUAAGGUUUUUUUUUUUUUGUGCGUAUUAGACUAAUAUGGUUGUUAUUACCGUUUACAAAUAGUCAUUUUUACUGGUUAAAACUGGUAAAAGGACUAUUUCUAAACGUUAAUAACAACCAUAUUGGUCUAAUACACAUAAAAAAUAAAAAAAAUAAAAAAUAAAAAAAUAAAAAAAAACUUUAGCGACCUAAUACGGAUACGGACAAACUGAAAACCUAAUUACCCUCCUAAGUCAUUAUCCCGUUUGGGUUUCCAUCGGGUAUGAGUUUUUUUGUCAUCCCUACACUCAAUCUUAUUUCUCAUAUGUACAUUAUUUUAUAAACAUUGCAUAAAUGAAAUUAAAUAAGCUCAAAGUUUUGUACAUGACAUAAAAUCAUACCUUAUAAUAUAAUAGUUAGUUACACUCCUAGAAAAUAUUAUUUUCAUAAAUUAAUAAUUUUUCAAUUUAAUAAAAGAGUUAAUAAUAUUUAUUAGUUAAUAGUGUAAUUAUAAUAAAUACUCAGCAAAUGUCUACCUGAUAAAUGUUUGAUCAUAUAAAAUUAUAUAUUAUUAGCAAUAUCAUUUUAAAAUGAUGAUUGAGUAUAGAAAUCCAACAAGCCACAGUGUACUUAGUAGUUGCCUCACAUAUUUCAUAACUAACCCUUUUACAUCUAAUUCAUAAUGAUAAAAUCCUAACUAGUAAUAUGGGAUAAAGCUUAAGUUUCAUAAAUUGACAAGUAUGGUCCUUGUAACAAAAUUUCUAAUUUUUUAUCCCAAUAAAUAUCCAGUUAUUCAUUAUAAAAAAUUUCUAUUAAUUUAUUUAACUAACUAUUUUUUUUUUAUUUUUAUAUUCUAAUUGUUUUAUUUUUACAAAAAUAACCCAAAACUAUUAGACCCAAAAUGCAAAAGUUAUAAAAUUUUGGUGAAUGCAAGAAGUAAUUAGGUUCCCCUCGAGGAACUUAUGCCACAAGAUGAUUAAUAUGCUUUAGGUUGUAUAGUUGACAUAUAUUUAGGUUUUAUAUCAAAUAAUGCUUCUCUAUGAUACCCUACGCUUGGAGUAAUGUAACAUCCCUAGUUUGGGUUUGGAAUUUUUUUCUAUUUUUAGUAAAAAGAAUGGAAAAACUUAAAUAGUAAUUAAAUAACUAAUUGAUAAGACUUUAAAGUAGUAAAUUAAAGCAUCAUAAUAGCAUUUAUUAAAAAUUAUGGACUAAAUAAGUUAUUUAUGUGCACUCAAAUGAAAGGAUAAACGUAAAAUGUGCAAAUGAAAGGAUUUCAUAAAAAUCUCAUGGAAUUGAGAAUGAAGUUUUCACUAUAUACAUUCCAUAUGAUGAAGUAGUAAUUACAUCUAAUUUAUAAAAAAUAUAUAGUUGUUCCCAUUUUUAGAAUGAAAUACUUAUGGAAUCUCCACUAAUAUUAUCAAACCUUAUUUCAUGGUAUUUACAUGAGUUUCUUCUUUCUUAUUCUUAUGAAAGUCCCCGAGAAGGCUUAGUUCGUUUGUUUCGAAAAAUAUAUCAAUCAAUUCUGAUUUUUUUUUCUUUUUCUCUUGAUGAUGUUUUGAUCGAGAAGUAUAGAUCUUGUUAUUGGAUUAACGAAAAUGCGCAAAAGGUCUAUUUGCCUCAAACGAUUUAUGAGCCUCUUCCUUUUUUCUUAUGAUGUUUCCGUUCCUUUAAUUUAGCAGCAUCUACUAAUUUGGGACAUAAUUUGAAAGCAAUAUUUCGACCUCGAUGUUUUUGGGAUGCCGCUGAUUGUAUGUUUGCAUAUUUCCUAAUGAUUGAAAUGCAUUACAACGUAUAACAUAUAUAGAGAGAAGUGCAAUGAUGGGCUUGGCCCUAUAAGACUAUACAUAUAUGAUAUAUGGUGGUUGGAUGUAGGAAUUAAUUGUUCCUUAUUUUGAUUUAAAGAGGAUUUAUCUUGAUUUUCUAGGUUUCAAAUUUACAAAGGGAAAAAAUGGGUGACAAUGAACACAAUGGUGGUAGCUGGAGGUGGCUGUCAAGCCUGUUUUGUUUCUAACGAGAUUUUUUGUGGUUCUCUGUGGGUGUUUUACGUAGGUGAUGGAGGUGAGUCUACCAUUGGGGAUCUCGUCUGCAAUGGUCACCAAAAAUGAACUUUGGCGAGGCGGCACCCAAAGGCAUAGUACGGUGAUAGUGGCCGAUUAAGGAAUCGACCAAGCGGGAUUCGAUCAGACCUCAUGGUGGUUCGAUCGCUGGUGAUGGUGUCGAGUUUUGUUAAAUAUUGUGAGUAUUGCAAACUUGUCAUUUCAUGAAUGUGCAGGAUGUUUUGUGUAAAAUAUCUGGAUUGAUUUAGUUGUGCAUUUUUUACUUUGGGACAAUUAUGUCAUUUGGAUAAAAGUGGUGCGUCAAGGUGUGAGUUUGUAACGAGUUGACAUGCGGGUUAUAUGAUCUGUUUACCCAAAGUAUCUAGUUGAAGCUGCAGUGGUCGAUGGUCAUAAUUCACAAGAUAUUUUUACAAUUCAUCUUCUUAUUCUCUCUCGUUGUAAAAAGGGUUUUUAGGGUUUGUUCAACUUUAUCAGUUCUUUGUUCUUUUGUAAGUUCUUGAUCGUUGUAGAUUAGGAUGAGUGUUCAUCAAGAGAAUAGAUUAGGAAUUGUGUAGUGAGGUUUCUUUGUAAGUAAUUGAAAACCAUCUGUCUAUUUGUCCUCAAAUGGUAUAAUAGAUGAUGAUGUUGGGAAAUUGUGUUUCUAUAUUUUUUCACUUUGUAUCAAAGCUAUAGGGCUUCGAUUUGUCAUUGAAGAUCGUUUCAUAAAGGUACAUCUGUUUACCUUUAUUUUUCGGCUGAGAUCCUUGUAGAUCUUCAUAGUUGAGUUCAUACUGGGGUUUCUGUUGGAAUCUCAGUUCAUCUUACUCAUCUGUGAACAUCUAGGCUUCUUUUAUUUGAUCUGAUUCCUUCUUGUUAUUGUUUUCUGUUAAGAUAUUGGUACUGCAAGUUUUUUUCUUAUGAUUGUGCAAGUUUGACUUCAAGUGGAGAUCCUUGAGAGACAUUCAUCGUCAUCAAGUGGAAAUCCUUGAUUGACGAAUUAAAUAUUUGCUGGUUCUUUGAUCGAUUAAUCUUGUUCUCCAAAAUAACUCUUGUUAAUGGAUUUCAUCACCAUUAACUUUUCCAAAAGAGAACGGAGUAACGGGAGUCGAUCUGUUUCGGCCUGUUCAGCUUAUAGCUCUGUAAGCGUUUCUUGAUCCCUUCUAUCUAUGUUCUAGCUAUAGAUGUGGAAGAUUCUGGUUGUCUUGAGUACACAAGUUGUUGUGUUUUUAGUUCUUUAAUAUCUGUGAUUGUUUUGACUCCGAUGUUCCUGUCUUGGGCCCCAACAUACUGUGGUGACCAUCUGGACGCAAAGGAACAUAGUGGUCUGUUACCUUCUUGAUUGUUGUGUGUUUUUAUUGGUUGUCUUUUGUGUGAACACUAUGUCUGAUACUCCGCUUGAGAGUAGUGGUUCUAAGGUUGAUCCUGUAAACUACGUGACCCUCUUUAUAUACAUCCAUCUGAUAAUACUGUAACUAUAAUUGUAAGUUUUAAACUAAUUGGGACCGAAAAUAUUCGUGUUUGGCGUAGCUCUAUGAUAAGAAGUCUUAAGGCUAGAAAUAAGUUAGGGUUUGUAGAAGGGACUGUAAAAAAGGACUCUACUAAUAAACUUACAUCUUUAAAAUGGGAUCGUGCUAAUGAUGUAGUGUGUUCUUGGAUUCAUGGGUCUUUGUGUGAGUCAAUUUAUUCUGGACACGCAUACUCAGAGUUUGCUGUAGAUAUAUGGAAUGAACUUUUUGAAACCUAUAACAAGGCUGAUGGGUCUGUUAUUUUUAAUAUACAUCAACGAAUUAAUUCACUCAAACAAGAUGGUUCUUCCUUAUAUGAGUAUUUUAAUAAACUCGACACUCUUUGGAAAGAAUUUGAUGGUCUUACAAAUGUUGCUGAAUGUACUUGUGAAGCUGCUACUAAGUAUAAUGAUCAUUCAAAACUCAUGAAGUUAAUGCAGUUUUUAAAUGGUCUUGGUGAAUCUUUUAAUCAAGUAAAGAGUCAUAUUCUUCUGACGGAUCCUCUUCCUAAUGUUAAAACUGCAUCUUCACUUGUCUUUAAAGAGGAAUCUCAUCAGAAGAAUGAGACAUCAACUUUUGUUUCUAGCGUGUCUAAAACUCAAUCAUCUGCAUUUAACAGUAGAUUUAAUGAAAAAAGGGUCAAGGUUCUAAUUCUAUAGAAGAAGAAAUCAAAAUUUACAGUGUAAGAAUUGUGGUCUUAAGGGACAUCUCAUUGAUAGGUGUUAUAAAUUGAUUGGUUAUCCAAAAGAUUUUAAACCUAGGAAUGAGUUUAACAAUGAAAAUCAAAGAAAUCUGAAUAAAACUUUUUCUGUUAAUUCUUCUUCUGUUCCAUCUAGAAGUUCCUUUUCUUCUAGUAUCUCUGGGAAUGGUGGAGCUUAUUCUUUUAAGAGUGAUCAGUAUAAUAAACUUUUAAGUCUCAUCAAUGAAAGGUCCUCUGCAUCUGAGGAUACUCCUGUCAGUGCUAAUAUGGCAGAUAUUUUUUUUAAGUCAUGUAAUUCUACUAUUAGUCAUCAAAAGUGGGUUGUUGACUCAGGUGCUAAUCAACAUAUGACUUUAUAUGAGUCUCUUUUACAAGACACUGUUGAUUUUUCUAAACUAAACCUUCUUGUUAAUCAUCCAAAUGGCUCUUCUGCUAAGAUUGAAAAAAUUGGGAACUUGCAGUUUUCUGAAAACUUAACAUUGUUUGAUGUCUUUGCCGAUCCUGAUUUUGACGUAAAUCUUCUUUUUGUUCACAAAUUGUGUAAAGAUACAAAUUGUGAAGUUGUUUUUAAUGAAAAUUGUUUCAAAGUUCAGGAUUUACAAUCAAAGAAGGUUGUGGAGAAUGGUAGAGAGUCUGGGGGAUUGUAUUAUCUUGAUGCUUUUCCCUCAGGUAUUAGCUCUUAUAGUUUCAUUAAGUGUUGUGUCUCUAAACUUGCAUGGCAUAGUAGAUUAGGUCAUCCUUCUGAACAAUAUUUAAAUUCUUUAAAAGAUACACUUAAUCUUGAUAGUUCUUCUCAUCCUCCUUGUGAUGUUUGUCACAAGGCUAAUCAAACUCAUGAAUCUUUUCCUCUUAGUGUUCAUAGUUCAACCAAACUUCGAGAAUUGAUUCAUUUAGAUGUAUGGGGUCCUUAUAGAGUGUUUACUACAGAAGGCUUUAGGUUUUUCUUGACUAUUGUGGAUGAUUUCACAAGGGCUACUUGGGUUUAUCUGUUAAAAAGUAAGGAUGAAGUUUAUGGCUGCUUUACUUUAUUUUUUAAUAUUUUGCUAACUCAGUUUGAUUCUAAAAUCAAAAUAGUCUGUUCAGAUAAUGGAACUGAGUUUUUAAAUCAUAUGAUGGAAUCGUUUUUGAACUUAAUGGUGUUCUUCGUCAAACUUCUUGUGUUUAUACACCCCAGCAAAAUGGGGUUGUUGAAAGAAAACAUAGACAUAUUCUUAAUGUUGCCAGAUCUUUACUUUUCCAGUCUGGUCUUCCUAUAAAGUAUUGGGGAGAAGAAAUUCUAACUUUAGUUUUUUUGAUUAAUAGAAUGCCAACUUCUGUUUUGAAAUGACAUUCACCUUAUGAACUUGUGUUUAAGAAAUUACCUGUGUUUGAUCACUUAAGAGUUUCUGGUAGUCUGUGCUUUGCCACUAAACUUAAUAAUCAUGAUAAGCUUUCUGAACCUGCUGAAAAAUGUGUUUUAUUAGGUUAUUCUUCUAAGAAAAAGGGUUAUAAGUUGUUAAGUCUUGAUACAAAUUUUGUUUUUGUUUCUAGGGAUGUGAAGUUUUAUGAGUCAGUUUUUCCAUUUAAACUGAGAUCAACAACUAUUGAUAAUCAAUUUGAUUUUCAUAAUUCAGUAGACCCUUUUUCCUAAAAUGAUCAACAUAAUUCUGAAUAUGUGAAUGAUUUGAUUGAUCUAAAUAACUUGAGUGUUAACCAUCAGAUGGAUGAUUCUAGUGCAGCUCAGAAUCUGGAUGAAACUUUUUUUGAUACUACAUUUGACAGUGAUGACCAGACUAGCGAGGUACCUGAAUCUUCAUCUGAUAGGAGUAUGCCAAGUCAUUCAGAUUCAACUGAGGAAAGUAGUCAUUUAGACUCAUUGCCUUCUCUAGGACAGUCAAUAGGGGUUUCUAGGUCUAGAAGAGAGUCUCGAAUACCUAUGAAGUUAAAUGAUUAUAUUGUUGAAGGGACGCAUAGAUAUAGAAUUGAACAUACAUUAAAUUACUCUGUUCUUAGUACAGAAAAUAAAUGUUUUUGUUCUAAUCUAAAUAAAACAAUUGAGACAAAAACCUCUGAAGAUGCCUCUAUAGACCCAAAUUGGGUUGAGGCAAUGAAUAAUGAAAUGGAAGCUUUAUAUCGAAAUCAUACUUGGGAUAUUGUAGAUCUUCUUAAAAAAACCAAUAGGAUGUAAAUAGGUUUAUAGAAUUAAGUAUAAACCCAAUGGAGAAGUAGAAAGAUAUAAGGCUUGUCUUGUAGCCAAAGGUUAUCAUCAAAGAGAAGGGGUUGAUUAUCAGGAAACAUUUUCUCUUAUGGAAAAAAUAGUUAUUGUUUGUAUAGUUAUUUCACUAUCUGUAAAUAAUAGGGAUGAGCAUAUGGACCGGGGAACCGGCCGGAACCGGUACUGGAACCCGAACCGGCACCGGAACCGGAACCCGAUGGAACCGUUCGGGCCGGGACCGGGACGUUAUUUUUGUAGAUUUUUGGAACCGGGAACCGGUAGGAACCGGAACCGAUAUAACCGGCAAAAACUGGAACUGUAUGAUGCUAUUUUUCGAAGACCGGUUCCAACAUUUGAAGACACGACAAGAACCGGUAGGAGCCACGAACCAGAAGAACCGUCGGGCCGGUUUGGUUCUUGAUUUUGGCCGAAGCUGGUUCCCGGUUCCGGCCGGUUCGGUCCUUUUGCUCAUCCCUAGUAAAUAAGUCUUGACCUUUGUAUCAGUUAGAUAUUAAUAAUGCUUUUCUUUAUGGAGACUUAACUGAGGAUGUGUAUAUGACUUUACCUCAAGGGUAUCAUACUAAAUGUGAUACUAGAGUAUGUAAAUUAGUUAAAUCAUUAUAUGGGUUAAAGCAAGCUCCUAGAAAAUGGAAUGAGAAGUUAUGUUCUGAAUUGUUUAGCUAUGGUUUUACUCAAAGCAUAAAUGAUUACUCUUUGUUAGUUAAAAAGGAUAAUAAUUUAAUUAUUGUUUUGUUAGUGUAUGUAGAUGAUAUUAUUUUAACAAGUAGUAAUGAGGCUGAAAUUCAGAAUGUGAAAUCUUUUUUGAAUUCAAGAAUUUUAAUAAAAAAUAAGGAAAAUUAAGCUAUUUUCUUGGAAUUGAAGUUUUAAGUAUAAAUAAAGGUGUGUGUUUAAAUCAAAUGAAAUAUUGCCUUGAACUUUUACAUGAGUUUGGAAUGUUAAGUUGUAAAACUGUUUCAACUCCUUUAGAGGCAAAUUUUGUCCCUAAAAGAAGUUGUAUUGGUGAUGCUCCUUUACUUGAAAAUGUUAGUGGAUUUCAGAAACUAAUUGGAAAGCUUAUAAAUCUAACUAUUACAAGACCUGAUAUAUCUUAUUGUGUUCAGAUACUCAGUCAGUUUAUGCAUAAACCACAUAAGUUACAUUUAAAAAUAGCAUUCAGACUAUUUAGAAAGGUAGUCCUGGGAAAGGUAUUUCAAUUAUAAAGGCAGAAAAUUUUGACUUAAUGGGUUAUGUAGAUACUGAUUGGGCAAAAUGCCUCAGUUCAAGGAAGUUAGUUACUAGGUAUUUAGUUUAUUUUGGAAAUUCAUUUGUAUCCUGGAAAAGUAAAAAACAAGCUACUGUAUCCAGGUCCUCAACAGAAUCUAAAUACAGAGCUUUAGGAUCUGUUACUUGUGAAAUUAUUUGGAUUUUAAAAUUGUUAUUUGAUUUGGGAAUAAAAAGUUUAAUACCUAUUAUAGUUUUUUUGUGAUAACGGGUUUGCUAUUAAACUAGCAUUAAAUCCUGUGUUUCAUGAAAAAACAAAGCAUUUUGAAAUUGAUUUACAUUUUGUUAGAGAAAAGAUUGCAAAUGGUGUUUUAAAAGUAGGAAAAAUUAGUUCUUCUAAAUAGAGAGAUGAUAUUUUGACAAAGUUUUUAAGUGUUUCACAACAUAAUUUUUUGUUAAAUGAAAUUGGUUUAAUUAAUCAUUUUAAUAAAAAUUAAUAUUCUUCCUUAAAUGUCAAGUUUGAGGAGGGGGUGUUAAAUAUUGUGAGUAUUGCAAAGUAUUGCAAACUUGUCAUUUCAGGAAUGUGCAAGAUGUUUUGUGUAAAAAUAUUUGGAUUGAUUUAGUUGUGCAUUUGUGACUUUUGGACAAUUAUGUCAUUUGGAUAAAAGUUGUGGAUCAAGGUGUGAGUUUUUAACGGGUUGACACGUGGGUUAUAUGAUCCGUUUACCCAAAGUAUUUAGUUGAAGCUACAGUGGUCAAUGGUCAUAAUUGACAAGAUAUUUUUACAGUUCAUCUUCUUAUGCUCUCUCAUUGUAAAACGGUUUUUAAGUUUUGUACAACUUUAUCAGUUCUUUGUUCUUUUGUAAGUUAUUGAUCGUUAUAGAUUAGGAUGAGUGUUCAUCAAGAGAAUAGAUUAGGAAUUGUGUAGUGAGGUUUAUUUGUAUGUAUCUGAAAACCAUCUGUCUAUUUGUCCUCAAAUGAUAUAAAUGAUAUAAUAGAUAAUGAUAUUGGGAAAUUGUGUUUCUAUAUUUUUUCACAAUUUGGUUGGCCGGGUGGUCCAUCAUUUGUUUCUUGUUUUCCGGGGAGAGAGAGAGAGAGAGAGAGAGAGAGAGAGAGAGAGAGAGAGAGAGAAAUUUUAUUUUAUCUUUUUUUAAUUGUUCAAUAAAAAGAAGAAAAAAAAUUGCAUCAUUCAUAAAGUUUUGGGAGGGACAAAAACCACAACCAACUCAAAAUGACCAUUUUUUGUCAAGUUUGGGCCAAAACCGGGAGAAAAUACAAAAAACAGGGACCAGUUUUGCUGUUUUGUCUUUGUUCCAAUAAUAAGCAAAGCUCGUGUUCAUUUACAUAGGUUAGCAAGCUGAUUAAAAGUAUAUAGUUGGAUCCUUCUCGGAAAAAGCGUCACCUCUCCAAGCUCUACGCGCCAUAUAUGAUGCCCCGUAGUCUGUUUGAUAAGAUUUUCUCCAUCCACGUAAGUCUAUGAAAGUGUUAUAUAAGGAUCUAUAAUUACGAGGAAUGGUAUCACCAAGUAAUAUAUUUAACCAAUCAUGGGUGGUUGACUCGAAGUAAUCGCGACGACAAAGAUAGUAGGCUCCUGUAGUGAGCUCAAAUUCAGAUAGAUCUCCUCCAAUAACUUCUUUCUCUUUCUUGUAAUUUUUGUAGUAUUCUAACUCUUCUUCACCAUCAUCUAUGAAAGCAAGGCUGGCACCACACCUGUUUACCAUCCAUCCAUCCCCCACAAUGAUGGACACAUUGAUUUCAUCUCCAGCAUCUAAAACGUUCCCAAUGGGCCAAUAGCUUAACCACACAACAUCUUUUACUCCCGGUUUGCAAUAGAUCGCAGGGUUAUACAUCCAAGUAAGGCCCUUGGUUAUAUUGCUAACUUUGGUGAAUAAAGCCCAUGUAUCUUUAUCCUUGUGUGAUGUGCCUGUUAUUCUGUAUGACACGGUUACAUUUAACCCUUGGAUCCUGAAUUUCUCAGGACAAGAAGGCACACGAAAGGAUAAGAACGAGGAUGAUGACUUAUACUUGGACAUUGGCAUGCUUUGACCCUUUAUGCCUGCCAGAUAUGUGCUCAUUAUACUGUAUUCAUACAGCACCUGGCCAAAUACAUUGCAGAAUUAUCAAAUUACUCAUAUAUUAAACAAUUUUCCGAUGGAAAGAUGUAUUUUUUGAUUGCUUAUUCAUGCAUGAGAGAGAGAGAGAGAGAGAGAGAGAGAGAGAGAGAGAGAGAGAGAGAGAAAUGUACCAUUAUAUGACAAUCGUAUCUAAUGACAUCAUCACCUGCAAGGUCAACCCUAGUAUGUUGAUAUGCUUUAAUCCAUUUCAUAUGUCCCAAAUCUGCUUCAUCAAGCUUUGCUAAUGGCACCAAUUUGAAAAAGCCUUGAAUUUCAAACAAGUUUUCACAACCUAGAUAUUCAAAUUUCCGCAAUCUGAACCUAGCAGAUUCGAAUGUUAUUUUCUCCAAUGAAGAACACCAAGAAGUAUACAACUCUUCUAGCGUACUUGGGAGACAUAGGAGGGACUCUAUAUUUGGACAACCACUCACAUCGAGCACCCGAAGCAUUUUAUGAUUAGUGUAAUUGGUCAGAAGCGUUAACGGAUUACUGCCAAAAUUCAUGUGUUUGUAAAACGAUGAUGACUGUUUACUUAAAAAUGAUGGAUCAUCAUGGCUUAUAUCAAGGUUGCUAUCAUUGAGAAACAGAAACUCUAAUGAGUCUGGCAAGGGAACCAACAACGGUUGUGGCAUUCCUCCACCAGUACAUAGAGCUUUUAGCCUUUGCAAUUGCUUCGAUGCAACCUUUCCAGGUUGAUUACACCCUCCGAAGUCCAGUAGAGAAAGCUUCUUAAGACCUCUAAUGGUUUCACAAACAUGAGUCACACUGAGACUGAAACAGUACGAGAGAAUCAAAGUCUCGAGAUUAGGAAGUCGGGAAAGAUGGCGGACACUGACAAGAUUGAGCGACCAUUUAAGAUUGAGGAUCUUCAGUGAAUUAAGAACCUAUUUAAAGAAUACCAAGAUUCAUUCAUGGUAUGUUAACACAUCAACUGUCAGAAAGUUGGGAAGCUAAAAGGUUAAGUGAAAAACAGGACAUCAAAUUCCUACCAUGGGAGGUUCAAACUUCUUCAACCAUCCAUUGCUCAUAUCUACAGCCACCAAGCUGCUCCCCAAUAAGCUUGAGGGUAUUUUUUUCAAUUGACAAUUAGUCCAGUGUAACCAUCUUAAUUCUGGAAAAUUUUUGUAGGACCCAGUGAGUCUCACAUAUCGGAGCUUGAGCAAUUUCAGUUUGUCCAUUUUUACAAGUGAAGUUGUUUUAAGGGUUGGUGGCUGCAAAUUUAGCAUUAAGUUAAUUAAUUAGGUACAUAUCUCAUGUAUAACAUAAAAUGCAGGUAAAAUUAAAGGUAAAUGCAGCAAAAAUAUCAAGAGUACCACACUCAUUCACAACUUUGUCUUACAUUUGAUGUCAUCCCUUCCUCUAGCUUUCGCAUGUCAAGUGCUAGACCUUCAAUUGUUUUCGAACCCUAAUGGGGAAAGACAGGAAAUGAGACAAGGAAAGUUAACAUAGGAGGUUGUUGAAGGGAAAAAAAGGAUUAAAGAUACACAUAAGAAGCAUCAUACCUCUCCUUUUCUCAACAAACGAUAAGAUUCAUCAUUUUGCGAGAUUCUACUACGUGCUGCAGGAUCUCUGGACUCCUGAAGAACUAUGUUUCUUGCCAUCUCUUGAAGCAAUUGAUGCAUCAUCAGUUUUUUACUUGGUGAGAUGGUAAGAAGGCAUUUGUUAGUGAGGGUCACGAUCCCAGCCUUUGCAUGCCAGUCAUGCUCCAAUAUCUUUACCACAUAACCCUCAUAUUCACCAACAAAGAAAAAAGCAAUAUGAAGAAACAACUCUUUGUUACUGGCAUGUGGCAAUGAGUCAAAGCUCUUUUGUAGUAUACCUUGGAUUUU